UCUCUCUCUCUCUCUCUCUCUCACACACACACACACCUGGAAUACAAGAGCACUAAAUACAGCACGGCAAAUAAAUAUCAGCACCAAAUCCCAAAAAGAUCAUGGUCAUCAUCAUAAUCAUCAUCCUCAUCGUUUCCCCCAAUCAGCGCAUGAAACUAAAAUUAUUUCUCCAUUAACUGCAUCAUAUAGGCCAAAAUAGUGGAGCUAGCAAUUAAGAGCAAGGAGAGCAAGAAGGAAGAGAGAUAGUUGCUGGUCUGGACGCCAUGGACUUGGUACCAACCCCGGAGAGCCCCCACUCCGACCACAGCGGCGGUGCCAACGCGAGCCCCCAUGCCUCCUCCUCAUCGGGCCACACCGGCGCUACCUCGUCGUCGCCAUCGCCAUCGCCAUCGCCAUCGCCAUCGCCAUCGCCGAGCCGGUACGAGUCCCAGAAGCGGCGAGACUGGAACACCUUCGGGCAGUACCUGAAGAACCACCGCCCGCCGCUGACCCUGUCACGGUGCAGCGGCGCCCACGUGCUGGAGUUCCUCCGCUAUCUGGACCAGUUUGGGAAAACCAAAGUCCACACUCAGAUGUGCCCCUUCUUCGGCCACCCCAACCCCCCGGCGCCUUGCUCCUGCCCGCUCCGCCAGGCCUGGGGCAGCCUCGAUGCCCUUAUCGGCCGCCUCCGCGCCGCCUACGAGGAGAACGGCGGCCGCCCAGAGUCCAACCCCUUCGGCGCCCGCGCCGUCCGCCUCUACCUCCGCGAGGUCCGCGAGCUCCAGGCCAAGGCCCGCGGCAUCAGCUAUGAGAAGAAGAAGCGCAAGAAGCCCAUCCAGGAGCAGCAGCAGCACCAACCCCGCCACCUCCGUCCGCUUCCUGAAUACGUGAUCCCUUGUCAUUGGGCGAUGAUCAUGCUCCUUCCAAGAACCACCACCAACACCACCACCUCCUGAGAUGGGGAACUCUCUCUCUCUCUCUCUUCCCCGCCGCCUCCCCCCCCUCUCACUCUCUCCCAUCUAUGCAUGCAUUAGAUCCUUCUCUCUUCGAUUCGGUAGGUGAGACCCAAGCAUAAUUUAUAUGGUGUGAGCUUCUCUUUUAGGCUGCUAUUAGUUUAUGUUGCUUUUUUCCUGUGUGCUGAUUGAACCUCUCUGGACAACUUUCCUUCAGUUGCUUCUUUCUCUCUCUCUCUAGAUAUUAUAUAUUUAGUCUAUGGCUAUUAUGUUGCUACCGGAUGUUGCUGUGGCUUUAUACUCUUGUUGUGACAGGAACUGGGAGUCAGUGAGCAGUAUGAGCAAUAUUUAGUGUGUUCCUAAUAUUGGUAAGGUAGGAAAAGGAAAGAAUGUGGGUACUGUACGUCGAACUGGGAGUUCAUUUCCAAGAGACUGUGUACUUGAGAUCUCUUGUUAUGGAUCUGUCCAUGAUGUGCCAAUUCACUCUUUUGAACUUUUCUUUUUUUCCUUUUUAUGGUAUUAAAAGUGGAGUGGUGAUGAUGACUUUCUCUAAGAUCAUAUGUGAGCCCCCUUAUUGGUUCUCUUCCCACAAGUUUCAUCAUAUGGCAACUGAGAGUAGGUGCUUCAGUUCCACUAUCCGUUGUUCGGUAACCAUCUCGUCCCUUCUUUUUUCUUUUUUACUUUUCUAUGAAUCUAAUGCUAUUGUUUGUAGGUCUAAGCCAUGAAUAGUUUUUUCUGAAUGAAAUGUCACGAAAUGGUUGUUACGAUUUAUAUUCAUUCGUGGGUUUCCAUCGCUUCCUAUGGAGAGAAAAAGACCGACCCUUCAGAGAGAUGUGAACAAAAAGUCAUCAAAUAACAAGUAGAAUUUUGAUGUUUGACCCUUUGGUCAGCAAUUCUAUCUACCAAAUUUACCAUGAUAAAGUAUAUCAAAUUCAUUUUAAGCCACAAAAUCACUUAAAUAUAUUACAAAACUAACAUUUGUUUUGGCUGAUCAAUAGCUUCCAUGGUGUAAGACAAAAAGGUGCAUUAUUUAUUCUAAGAAUGGUAGUAUACGGGAAUUAGAAGAGAUUUUAAUAUUUUGGAUAAAUGCAUGUUGGUCGGUGGCUUAUAUUUUAAUGCUGAAGGAUUAGUGGACUGAAGGUACUAUUCCCAUGGGACAUCAGAGAACCUUGAAUUUCAUAAUCAAUCUAGCCGACAACCCUUCUUUGUGGUUAUACAAUAUGUUGGUGUGGUUGGGUAGUGAAGAUAUCUCUUUCUAGAGAAAUCACAUUCUUUGGUUUCCUACUGUUAUUGGUCUUCUGGAUAUUACAAUGCUUCUUUCUUCUUUCGCUCAUAUAUGCAUUGAAGUAUCUCUUUACCCAUGCAUGCGUGUGUUUGUGUGUGUGAAGGCAGGUAUGUACUUCUGAGCUCUUUUUGUAUUUGUUCUUAAAUUUAGAAUUCUUCCCGUCAAUUUAGGAUCCUUCCCGGCAAUUUUAAAUUAACAAAAUCUUCUCUAGUGAGUAACUUAGAGAACUUACUGAGGAAUAUUUUUCUAUUCUAACGUCACAACUUAAAUAGAGACCGAUUUAUGAAACUUGAUGUUGUCUCCUCAUUCUGCAUCUUAUAUAUAAAUAUGUGUGUGUGUACUUUUGGACCAGAUUUUCUAUGUUUUUAUGAAGUUUGUAUGUCAUGUUUUAAGAGGAGAUUUAUUGAUAUAACAGUUAUAGUGUCAUAGAAAUUUUAUUGCAUGGAUGAUGUUGCCAUGAUCGGUGUCUAAAUGAUUAGUAAAACUUGCUAAGGACCUAAAAAAUUUCAUAAUGUAAAGUUGUGGGCCAAUAAAUGAUGCUCUAAAGAAAGCUAGAUUGAAGUUUGAAAAUUGAGCAUACUAUUUGAGAGACAAAGUAAUUAGAAAUAUGCUUUGUCUUGGCUCAUGAAAUUAGUUACAUGCCAUGAUUAGCCAGCCACGAAGAAUUUGUGUUUCUCCUUUUUCUUUCAUUAAUGAUCCAAAUAGACACGACACACGAACUUUGGCACGAAAACAUGAAACCUAUUUUAUAGAAUAAAGUUUAUUUAAUAUCAUGUUCUCAGUUACCUAAUUGUCAUUCUCCUACUUGCUGUUACCAUGACUCUAAAUGUCUUCUACUUCAUAUAGCACUUCUUGUCAUUUGUUUACAUCCUUAACAUUCAUAAUGAUUUUCAGAAAAUAAAAGUCAUCUCACAGUAAAUCUUUGGGGAACUUACUAUUUCCUUAUUGAUGCACCAAUGGCCCUGUACCUAGAAGCUCCAAUGCUUACUCUCUUCAUCCAACUAAAGUACACACCAAAUCCUUUCCUUGAGAAUGGCUUUAUUAAAUUCAUAAGACUAGUGAUUAUCAUGCUGGAAAUGUGUGAAGUGUUUGAUGUUAUUUUUAAAGGAAUCUUAGACAAUUUUUUUCUUGUCGGUUUCACGGAAAAUUUCUAUAGACAAAUUAAUGUGCUUUAUCAACUAAAAGCAAGACAGUGUUCCUUAGGGACUUUUUCAUUGUUAAGGCUACAAGAUUUGGUUAGGUUCAAGUUGGGUCUAGAGACAACACAACAUGGAUUUGAGGUUCCUCUUCUUGUAAACAUUUUUUUUCUUUAAUAAAGCCAGGGUGGCAUUCUUUGCCUCCCUUUUCUAUCAGGAAACAAAAAACAAAGGAAAAGAAAAACAUGGAUUUCAGGUUUAAGAUUUAGACCCACAUCCAAUCCAUUCACUUGAUAGGUUGCAUCAGGUUAGACUACUCUCUUGGUUGAAACUAAAGUGGGUCCAAGUAUCAUUUCUGUUGUUCUAGAAUUCCUAUGAAAAGGUCAUAAGCAUUUGAGAGAAUAAAUCGAGACUAAUAAGCCUGUGUAACAACUGGUGAGAUCAUAAAACAGUGGAAAAGAUGAUGAACUCAAUCCGAUACUUGUCAUACAAGACAAUACGAAUCAACUCAUGAUGGAUUUGCCUAAUAUUUGGGUUAAUUGGUUAAUUUUCUCCUAGAGUUGUUUUUCAAUCUUGCUAUAUUCUUAUGGAGAGUUCAGAGUUAAUUUCUAGACAAGGAAGCCUUUUAAUCAAGACAAUCAGAUGACAAGAAGGGUCGGUGCAUAAAUUUAGAUUAUCAUCAAAUCCAUGAAAGAACAUUAAAGUUUGUUUGACUUUCUGGAAUCCUUAAGGGAGCAUGCAAGAAAUGAAAGUUGAACGACAUUGCUAAUUCCAUGAAAAGCUUGACCCACAGAGUGCUAUAAAAUCCUACAUCGACUAUGAACUCAAGGAUGUAUUUGUAGCAAAUGAACUGGUUUAAUCCAACAAAAAAUGAUAUAGUUGGGUGAAAUGGAAUAGCUCAAGUAAAGAAUCAUGGUAUGUUGGAGAAUGUAGUCAUAAGUCACCAGUCGUAUUUUUUAUAAUCUAUGUAGACAUGUUUUGACAACUUGGUUAUUUUCUGAGGAUAUAUCUUCAUGCCUCCCUUUAUGGUUUCGAGGGAAAUUAACUUGAUCCUGAUCAAUUUAAGUGCUUUAUCCUCUAGUAGGAAAUGGUGGUGUCCCUGCACCAAAAUAGGACUCACGGCACAUUUAAUUUUGUGAUGUCUGCAACAAUCAUCAGAAGAUUAUUUUUUAAUUUGUUGCUAUGUUUAUCAGUAAGCGACAGUGGCUCAAGUGAUAUUUCUGCUAAGACUUGGAGAUGCAUCCCUUAAAGUCGAUGGCGACAUUAUCAUAUGAGGCAAUUUCUGUCGUAGUGUUUUUGGUAUAUCAGGGUAAGUUGUGUAAGGGAUUACGUGUGGCCAACUGCUUUCAAAAGAAUACAGGUCUUUCAUAGUCCUGUGGACAUUUAUAACCUCUGAUAGAUAUAGAACUGAGUGAUGUUUAUGAUACUCACCAGUCGCUGGGGUUGACAAACAACGGGAUAAACCUUCAUGUAUGAUCCCCUAUUUGAUUGGUCUAGGGGCGCGCGAGCGCGCGCACACACACUCACCCUUUGUGACGCAAGAUAAUAAUAAUAAUAAUAAUAAUAAAGAUAAUUUCCGAUUUUAAAUAAAAUAUUUGAUUUAUUUGUGGAGAUCUAUAUAUGAUUGGUUUAAAGUCAGAAAGAUAUAACAGAAGCAUAUCUUCUUGUUAAAGUAAAAGUUCAACAUUAGAACACAGCAGAUGUAGGAAGAUCAGAAAAGAAAGAUGACAGACAUUGAAGAAAAAGGAAGAAUGUAUUGACAGAUUUUAAAAGAAGUAGUCAAUUAUCUUCUUGUCAAGGCACGUAAGCAUAUAUAUAUAUAUAUAUGUUGUCUCGUAAGUUAUUUUUUUCUGAUGAAUAUCUAAUUAGUUACCUACUGAUUUGUUCUCCAGUUUCCUUAAAAUAGGCAGGGAUUAACGGUGCAUAAGUGGUUUGGAUGAUAAACGUCUUUUAGUUGUAUCUUGAUAUAUAAUACCUUCUCCAGAGCAUAAUCUCGGUGGUCACUACAUCCUCUUAUAUCUUUUUACCAUUCGUAUUCAAAUAUAAUAACUCCUCCAAGUGAUAUGUGGUACGGAUGAGAUCAAUGCAUCUUGGUAGUUAUGAUGAUUGUUUUUUUUGCAAAUAAAUAGUAGGGAUGCCGCCACCUGAGUUCAAACCUGAAAUGUCUACCUAGCACAUGCACUGAAUAGAGGUGCUGUGCUCUCUUACAGUAUCCAUUCGAGAUAAGAUUUUUUGUGUGGGGUGUUGCGCGGGGGGAUCACACAUAAAAGGAAUGAUCAUUAAUUGCUCAGCACAGUCAUUAACCUAUCUAUGAUAAACUUUAAUUCUUUUCUAGUCAUCUCCUCUAUUACGUUGCAUUCUAUCACUUCCUGUCUCACAUAUAUUUAUAGUCUUCACAUAUGUAACUUUCCUUUUAGUGUGGGACAAGAUGUGUCGCAUUUGUUGUUAGUGUCUACUGGCAGUUAAUCAAAGACAAUUUUUUUUUUUUUGAGGGAAAUCGAAGACAAUUUGAUGAAUGUGGUUGUGUCCUUCUUACUGUGGGUUAUGUUUCGCUGAUAAGAGCAUAUCAUUCCCUUCUGUUGCAUGCUUGCAAUGAAUACCACUUCUGUCAGAAUUUCUAUAUACAGCCUUUAGAAUUCAAUCUUACCUUACAUAUUUAGGUCUGGAUUUUUAAUCUGCAUUAUUAGUUCCCAUCAAGGUUCAAUUACUAUGAAUAUGGAAAAAUUUGCUUCAUGUUUAUGUGAUAGAAACAUAAAAGAGUAUUGCAUUGGUCAUUUCCCCUAUGAAAUGAAACAAUGAGAACUGCCCCAUCUUUCUUCAGAAAAAAAAGAAUGUUGCAUUAGGCAGAGAGUGUUAGCACUGAAUAAAGGAUUAAUUUUUCAAACACUAUAUUGGGUGUUGAAGACACAUGAUGGCAGCUUAUUGGACUGUCUUUUAUAUGGUUUAACAAAUUGCUGUGAUUCGUGUACAUGAUGUGGUUACAUUUUAUAGGAUUCCAAUCUCAUGAUGUGAUGACAUAAAUGUGAGGACCUGUACCUAAAUAUAGUUAGUCCCAUUCGCUGGAAAGAUAUUGGAUACUCAUAUAGGGUCAAGGAACAUAAAUAAUAUCUUCUGACUAAUUGAUUAUUCGUGGUAAAGAUCUUUAGUAUUUAUAUAGGGUCAAAAAAUCUAAAUAAUAGUUUCUGGCUAGUUUUUUUGGAUAAGAUCUUAGGUUACUGCAAAUGGUAUCAGAGUCAAUCUGGUCUUUAGCUUAUGUGGAUUAAGGGAUACUAUAAUAUAGAUUCAUUGGGACUGAUCACAAAUCGAUCGUGAUGUUUAUGAAUUGAUUUGGACCCUUAGUCUAAUGAGAAUGCAGGCUUAAACAAGAGGAGUAUGUUAGAAUUUGUGCAAGUGUGUAUUCAAUCCAAUAUCAUUAUCGGAAUAUUUUUGGUAUUUAUAUAGAGCAAAUGAAUCCAAAUAAUAUCUUUUGGUCAGUUUUUUUAAAUGAGGCCUUAGAUUGUUAUAACAAAGAAUUGUAUUGUUUGGGGGGUUUUGUGAAGGUAUUUGAACUUAAAUUCAAAAACUUGCUUUUCUCCUCAAAUAAGAAGGAGAAUAAGAUUCUACUACCACAUAUAAAUGAUUAAAAUUAUAAAUUUAUAUCAAACUAAUGGAACAAAUUCCUUAGAAGUUGGAAUCAAUACAAAUUUUUGCAGUACCUGCUGCCCCAAGUACAACAUUAAUUACCUCAACAAGAGAUUGCCAAUGCAAAAUAAUAAAGAAACAUAAUUCGUUAAGGAGAAGAGUCACUAGAUGAAAUUGUGUGCGCGCCAUGUAUGUGUGUAUUUUAUAGCAUAUCUCUUGAAAAUGAGGCUACUUUUUUGUCUUUCGAAACUCCAGCAACACUUCAUAUAGAAAACCCAUCUCACCUCUGAUUUUCUGGACUGCAAGGUCCUGCAAACAUUUCCUUGACUCUGUUGGCUACGACAAAUCACUUGAUUCCAAUCUUGUCGUAAUUGACUUGACUUCUCCAUCCAAAUCGCAUAGUCUACCAAUCAUCCAAUUUAUCAGAGACUAAUUUGGAAGUAAUGCCCUCUAGCAUUAGGGAGGACCACCCAAUGAAAGAAGAAAACCUUAGUCUUUUGAAAAUAUGAUGGGUUUCCAACAAGAGAAACUUGCUACGUAGCAAAUCCAAGUCUCGCUGGCGUCAAGAAGAGAGCCCUAAAUUCAGUCCUACGGGUCUAAAAGCCGCUACUUGCGGAUUCAAAGCGAGCUGAUAAGUAGGAGAUAAAUUUUAAUAAAGUAGUUUAAUUAUUAAUUUUUCAGUGUGGGCAAAUUUGACAGUCCCAAAGAUCUCAUCUUUAUAGAUUAUAAAUUGAAGAACAUGAAAUUCUUGAUAUGCAAAUGAUUCUUGCCUUUUCCUCUGUAUGAAAUCAUUUUAUCAAUGCAACGGUGGCGACUGUGUGCCACCUUCUUGACACAAAAGAGUCUUUUCUUUAAUUUCCAUAGCCAUCAGAUAAUGAUACGUAACAAGCAUCAUGAGUAGUAAUUUUCAUGCGUCACCGGUGUCCUUGUCAUUUCCAUUGUUUCAAGUUGUGCCAUACUAGCUCGCAAACGGCAUGCCGCAUGCAUUAAAGAAGCACUUCAGUACUGUAAACUCGAAGAUUUACCACAUGACCUUCGAGGAUGUUUCUGUCUUCUCUUCAAUGGCUCUAAGAUAGGAGAAUGAAAGCUUUGGAAUGCCGCUAAAAGAAAGAUAAUUAUAAAUUAUAUUCGAGUACUGGAUCCUCUAGUUACGUCUUACUAGUACCGUCCAGUUCUCAUCCCCUCACAUCGACGCAUGAUGCGUAUUGGAGUCAACACUGCCAUGAUUUAGCUAGGUACAUGGAUCUACCAAACCAAGGUUCUGGUUUAGUGCAGCUAGCAUGUCACGUCCGAUAUGGAUCGGUGCCAAAACGUUAGUCCGCAAAAUCACAUUGGUCAUGUUGGUUCGCUUAGGAGUUGGAAUAUCAACAACAAAUUGACUCCAGAUGGUAACUGAAUUCCUUGCCUAAUUAACUGAAUCUCACCCUCCCCACCCCCCCCCCCCCACAAACCCACCGACCUUUUUUUUUUUUGUAUUAUUUUAUGAAAAGUCAGGAAGCACCUUAGCCAUUCACCAAUUUAGAGUAUUUAAGAUAUUUUAUUCUUGAUUGUCAACAGAUUAAUUACUAGCUUCCUUAUUUUUAAUUAUUUUUUGAUAAAAAAUAUUUUAUUAUUUUCUAUUCUGAAUUGAUCAUGAUGAUCCAUCUUUCCGACGGUGCAUUAGUGGACACUAGCAGUAGAGAUGUGGUACUAGAUGGCACAAUAUGAUGCGGUGUUGGUGGAAUGGCAAAUGUACAUGGCAACAAAGGCGGUGGCCCUUCUAUGUAUCAUUAUUGAUGGGGUUUAUGACGCAAAUCAAGAUGAGAGUGCAUGAGAGGGUAUGAGUGAGGAGAUGUUGGAGGAUUGGAUGAGGGCGAGCAUUCCCAUCAAGGGUUGCCUCCUCGUAUUUAUCGACUAUAGGGAUGGGUGGGUGAAAGUGUAUAUAAAGUCGGGAGUGAUGCGUAAUGAAGAAUGGAGAUGCAUGGCAAAGGAUAGCAAAGGGGCAAGGUGCGGCCAAAGCUGAAGCAACCAUAUGCCAUGAGUAGGGCAAAAGAGGAAUCUAUGUGGUGGGAGUGGAUUGGAGGUCGAGAUGGAGAUGGUGGUGGCAAAGGAGGUGGGGGGCAAGGAUGAUUGAGGGUGGGGGGAGUGGGAUGUAAGCCCUCUAGUAGUUGGCCAUGGGGGGUGAUGAGUUUUCCAUGCCCAAGAUCAUUUGCAAAAUAUGAGGAGAUCAUUGCCUCCUUGGCCUUUGUAGUCUACGAGAAGUUCGCUUUCGACAUCCUACACUCCACUCGCCUCACACCAAAUCUAUAUAGAACAUCAUCCUCUUUGGCAUUCACUCCAACCCCUCUUUCCUCGAUCUCAACAUCCCCAUUGCUACCCUAUCCGUUCUCUCCACCAUGCACUCUUUGUCCAUGAUGUCCACAAUUAAUGAGAUUAUUGCUUAGCUUGGACUCCCCCUUCCACUCCUUUCAAUUUGCUCUAACCAAUAUCCUUACUUGUGAUGGCCACGUCCUCCCCUACCAUGCCUCCCUUGCCAUCCUAUUGCUCUGAUGCCGCCACCUUCACCUCUCUCACCCAUCUCUUCGAGGUGUUCAAGUUUAAGUGUGUAUCUUACCUUGCCAGCAACAACCUCAUUGGUAAUGCAUUAGGGCUAAGGAAGGAAAAGAGAGGAAAAAGGGCAUCCAAAAUGCUCAUGAACUUCAAAAUAUUUAUCACUAGCCAUCAUUUUUUUAUUUUAAAAUAUCUUUGAAUUUUGAAAUAUUUACCGCACCAAUCAUGUAUAUGAUCGGCUUCAAUCAUUUGCCAAUGGAUAAAUUAAUAUUGUCCAAGUUGAAUUGGAUGGUCUAAAAAAGCUAUUGGUAAAAGAAUGUAAAAGCCUUCUAGAGCAUCGUAACAAAAGUUUUUUUUCUUUCUUUCUUUUUUUUUUCCAGGAAGAAGUUUGCUCAUUGGAGAAGGGACCAAAUGAAAAACUUAUGUUUCAUUUCUUUGCUAGUUUUGUCCGGAUACAGAAGAUCAUGGAUUAUUUUCAAUGAAGAAUUCUUCAAAUUACAAGUCCAUGAAUUAUUUUAUCCAAUCAUUCAGAGAAUCCGCUCUCUAAACUAAACAUGAUGCUGCAUCUAAUUAAAUGAUCAUAGAAGUACAAUUGUGAGUAUCCCAGUUAAUAGAAAGACAUGUAGUUUCAGUUUUUUGACUUAUAUAUAAAGUUUCUAGAUCAAAGCUGAAUGCUAGCCAACAAAUUUGGUGGUCUAAUUUUGUGCCAAGCCCCAUUCUUUCUCGGAACUGCAUCGAUCACUAAUGCAACAUAUAUCAGCCACUGUAAGUGAUCGAGUUAGGAGGUAGAUAUAAGAUAAGUCUCCUCAACUUCUAGUAGACCAUUCGUCCAUCCAUGAGCCUGACCCUCAAAUAGAAUAAGACUUUAUAGUCACUAUUAUUGGUUUUAGAUAUAAACAAGAGAGUACAUUCCGGAAAAGAUACAUCCUGCCAGAGCUUUUGAAGGGUAGUUUAGACUGGACUCAGCCGGGGAAAGAGAUAUGCCACUCUAACACCAUCUGGAAGAGAAGUCAAGAACUAUAUAUAUAUAUAUAUAUAUAUAUAUAUAUAUAUAUAUAUAGUAGUAAUACNNNNNNNNNNNNNNNNNNNNNNNNNNNNNNNNNNNNNNNNNNNNNNNNNNNNNNNNNNNNNNNNNNNNNNNNNNNNNNNNNNNNNNNNNNNNNNNNNNNNNNNNNNNNNNNNNNNNNNNNNNNNNNNNNNNNNNNNNNNNNNNNNNNNNNNNNNNNNNNNNNNNNNNNNNNNNNNNNNNNNNNNNNNNNNNNNNNNNNNNNNNNNNNNNNNNNNNNNNNNNNNNNNNNNNNNNNNNNNNNNNNNNNNNNNNNNNNNNNNNNNNNNNNNNNNNNNNNNNNNNNNNNNNNNNNNNNNNNNNNNNNNNNNNNNNNNNNNNNNNNNNNNNNNNNNNNNNNNNNNNNNNNNNNNNNNNNNNNNNNNNNNNNNNNNNNNNNNNNNNNNNNNNNNNNNNNNNNNNNNNNNNNNNNNNNNNNNNNNNNNNNNNNNNNNNNNNNNNNNNNNNNNNNNNNNNNNNNNNNNNNNNNNNNNNNNNNNNNNNNNNNNNNNNNNNNNNNNNNNNNNNNNNNNNNNNNNNNNNNNNNNNNNNNNNNNNNNNNNNNNNNNNNNNNNNNNNNNNNNNNNNNNNNNNNNNNNNNNNNNNNNNNNNNNNNNNNNNNNNNNNNNNNNNNNNNNNNNNNNNNNNNNNNNNNNNNNNNNNNNNNNNNNNNNNNNNNNNNNNNNNNNNNNNNNNNNNNNNNNNNNNNNNNNNNNNNNNNNNNNNNNNNNNNNNNNNNNNNNNNNNNNNNNNNNNNNNNNNNNNNNNNNNNNNNNNNNNNNNNNNNNNNNNNNNNNNNNNNNNNNNNNNNNNNNNNNNNNNNNNNNNNNNNNNNNNNNNNNNNNNNNNNNNNNNNNNNNNNNNNNNNNNNNNNNNNNNNNNNNNNNNNNNNNNNNNNNNNNNNNNNNNNNNNNNNNNNNNNNNNNNNNNNNNNNNNNNNNNNNNNNNNNNNNNNNNNNNNNNNNNNNNNNNNNNNNNNNNNNNNNNNNNNNNNNNNNNNNNNNNNNNNNNNNNNNNNNNNNNNNNNNNNNNNNNNNNNNNNNNNNNNNNNNNNNNNNNNNNNNNNNNNNNNNNNNNNNNNNNNNNNNNNNNNNNNNNNNNNNNNNNNNNNNNNNNNNNNNNNNNNNNNNNNNNNNNNNNNNNNNNNNNNNNNNNNNNNNNNNNNNNNNNNNNNNNNNNNNNNNNNNNNNNNNNNNNNNNNNNNNNNNNNNNNNNNNNNNNNNNNNNNNNNNNNNNNNNNNNNNNNNNNNNNNNNNNNNNNNNNNNNNNNNNNNNNNNNNNNNNNNNNNNNNNNNNNNNNNNNNNNNNNNNNNNNNNNNNNNNNNNNNNNNNNNNNNNNNNNNNNNNNNNNNNNNNNNNNNNNNNNNNNNNNNNNNNNNNNNNNNNNNNNNNNNNNNNNNNNNNNNNNNNNNNNNNNNNNNNNNNNNNNNNNNNNNNNNNNNNNNNNNNNNNNNNNNNNNNNNNNNNNNNNNNNNNNNNNNNNNNNNNNNNNNNNNNNNNNNNNNNNNNNNNNNNNNNNNNNNNNNNNNNNNNNNNNNNNNNNNNNNNNNNNNNNNNNNNNNNNNNNNNNNNNNNNNNNNNNNNNNNNNNNNNNNNNNNNNNNNNNNNNNNNNNNNNNNNNNNNNNNNNNNNNNNNNNNNNNNNNNNNNNNNNNNNNNNNNNNNNNNNNNNNNNNNNNNNNNNNNNNNNNNNNNNNNNNNNNNNNNNNNNNNNNNNNNNNNNNNNNNNNNNNNNNNNNNNNNNNNNNNNNNNNNNNNNNNNNNNNNNNNNNNNNNNNNNNNNNNNNNNNNNNNNNNNNNNNNNNNNNNNNNNNNNNNNNNNNNNNNNNNNNNNNNNNNNNNNNNNNNNNNNNNNNNNNNNNNNNNNNNNNNNNNNNNNNNNNNNNNNNNNNNNNNNNNNNNNNNNNNNNNNNNNNNNNNNNNNNNNNNNNNNNNNNNNNNNNNNNNNNNNNNNNNNNNNNNNNNNNGUUGUGAAGACUAUUAACUAUUGAAUUUUUUUUUACAAAAAAAAAAAGAUUUGAAUGAAACUCUAACUAUAGGAAUUAGUACGAAUACACACCAACGGCAAAAGCCAUCAUAUUGUAAUAAAAAUUGCCACUAAUAUUUUUAUAAAAAUAAAAUUUACAAAAUCUCUUGCGUGUGCUCCUCAAUACAUUGAUUACGAUGAGCCAGACCUUCAAAUAACCUUGCUUCCUGGAAGCCUGCAUGGUUCGUUUAUUUCUACCAUAUUUCUUUUUUUUAUUUUUUAUUUUUUAUUUAUUUUGUAACAAUGAAAGUUAAGGGAUCCUGUGAAACAUUAAAAAAGAUUUGAUAAAUAAUGCGCCUCUGAACGGAUUCAUAAUCUUCGAGGUUAGGAUUUUCUAACUCUUUUACUCUAAAAAGAUUGGAUACUUUUUUUUAAUUUUUUUUAUACGUUAUUUCACGACUGAAUAUUAAAGAAAAUGUUGGUAAAUGGACUUCGUUUUUUCUUAGCUUCUUUGCAUCUACAUUUUUCUGGUUCUCCCCACUUCCGGGACCCGUUCCAUCUUUGGGGGCCAUCCUGGUUUUGACCUUUCCGUACGAUGCCUUCUUAAUUAUACUAUUUAUGUCAAUGUCUCCAUUUUAUAAUGAAAAAUAAUGAGAUGGUACCCUUGGUGGUAGACUCCACCACUUCGGACCGCAUUGUCUGGUCAUCCGUACAACAAGUCCUAUCAGCGCACUUGAGCUUGCCCAUGCUGAGGCAUAUGACCACUUUAAAUUUGAUGAUGGUCCGAGAUAAGCGUUAAAAUUUAAAACAAUGGCACCAAAUUUCUUUCAGGAAUUUUGCACCGUAUAUUAUAAAUCUAUUUUCUUGUCCGCCUGCAACACCAGCUAGCUAGAUCACAUGACCAGCGAAGAAAAGGUUUAUAAAAGUGACAAAGAUAGUUGAAACAACACUUUAUAAUUUGUUUAUGAUGAUUAAAAUAAUAAUAUCAUUUUAUGAUUAUGAUUAGCUCAGGAUGAAAAUGAAAAAAAAAAAAUCAUUUAAAAAUUAUUAUUAUUAUUUAUAAUUAUUAAUAAUUAUUAUGAAAUAUAUUUGAUUGAAAAAAAUUAAAACCUCCAAUGAAGAUGGACUGAAUAGCUUCUAUUCCACUCAUUUAUUUAGAAGAAGCCUGACUCUUAUUUAGAUUUUUUUUAAAAAAAAUAAAAAUUAUCAUAUUUUUUUAAAUUCAAUCACUAUUUUUUUUAAUAUUUAAAUUUUAUUUUGAUUUUGAAUAAAAUAUUUUAAAAUAUAUGACCGUUCUAAUUUUUAUGUGAUUCUGAUGGUAAAUCCAAUGCAUAUUUAAUGAUAAAAAUUAUUUUGUAAAUAAAUUAAGAGAACUAAAGUCAUUAUUUAUGCGAUCCAAACAACAAUUCACUGGAGAGGUUACUUGGGCGUGCCAACGUUACUGUAAUAUUAAUUUGAACGCAUGUUUCUGAUAUAAACUCCACAUGAGGGGAAACAUGGCCUGCUAUCAUCCUAUCUGACUAUGAUUUUCCAGAGACUGCUACUUUAUGCUGGUGCCCCCCUUUGAUUCGUCUUGAUCUUAAAUGGGUUUUAAUAAAACUGGGAGCAUCUAUCAAUGACGGAGGCAUGACGAGUGAAUUUAUAUAAUAGAACAGAACAUUAAUCAUUACCCAGACUGAUUAGACCCACUUUUCUGUUUAUAACUAAAAACAUGAUGGGAUUAUAUUAAUAGCAAAAUGAUCAAUUCAUAUCUCUCAAUAUUAAAAAUCAUCAUAAAUUAUUUUUAUUUUUUUGAUACAAAUGAAUGAUCGUAUUAUUCCGAUGAAAACGAAAAUUAAUUUUCAAACACAAUCCAUUGACUUAAAAUAGUUCUCAAACCCAAUGAUAGUAAAAAAAAAAUCACUACAAGGAUAGCUAUAAAUUAAUUAAAAUUUAAAUAACUAGUCUAAAUUAUAUAGCAUCUUCAUGCAAGUAGUUCGUCAGGACUCAAUAGCCAAGGCACAGGAGGCUCGACCGAUAACCUAUGGCAUUGAGUCAGGAUUGAUUCAAGCUCUUCAAAGAAAUAGCAAUUAUAUUUAUCAUACAAGGAUUUUUUAACAUAUUUUUCAACCCCCGUAAAUCCUUUGAAUAUUUUGUGAGUUUUAGCAGGAAAAACAAAUAAAUAGUCUCUUUGCAUUACAGAUGGUAUCUUUUCACGUAACUGGUUCUAAAUAUGAUGAGAUUGGACCAUCUUGGGCUCUUGAAUAUUGUGGAUAGGACAGUCGAUAUCUCAUCCUAUCCUAAUCUAUUUCCCGACUCGUCCCAUCCUCAUACCAACAGUGGUGAAUCAUACCAUCGUCCCAUUAAUAUUUAAAAUAUUAUUGCGUAUUGUCCACAAUGAUUAUGAUAAACGAGACAAUUGUCAAUUUAUAUUCUCUUGGUACAACCUUCUUUUCUUUCCACAAUUUAUUUAAGAGCUAUAAAUAAAAAAUCAAAAUGUAUAAAACUUCUUACACACAACCUCGAGAAUGAGAUUUAUAACUAUAACUAGGUUGAUAGGGUAAACAUAUCAUUCAAGCCUCACACCAGCCAUAUAUUCAAGCUGUUAAACUAUACAUGAAAAAAAAAAUCAUAAUAUUCACCAGGAAAGCAAAGUUGAAGAAAUAAAAUCCGAAUCAGCAAGAUCAAUUCAUAAUUUAUAAGUAUGGCAUGUCAGUUAGUUAAGAUCCCUCGAUUAUCUAAACCAUGUAAUAGCCAACAUGCAAUUGCUCAAAAUGAAGUGCAUCCGAAGGAAGAUAUGUUUAUCUGUACAUAUUUUUUAGCUUGACCAAUGGAUGGUCUGGAACCAUCUUAGUCAUUUAUAGUUGGAACCGUUGGUGAAUUUAAUUAGACAACAUGCCAUGAACCUCACAAAAUCAUUAACAAAACAUGAACACCAAUAGGAACAGAAUAAUUUGGAGAAGUUAAAGUUAAGGGCCUCUGAAAUAGACAAGGCGGCUGGAUCAUUACUUAUACUGAAUUGUAGUUACAUCAAAUGUUUGAGAAAGAUGAACGACAAAUUCUUGCACCUUUUGUUGAGUGCAUCUAUGAAAUCAGAAAGAAUAACAGUAAGUUGAUUACUCAGCCUCAUUUUGCAAUACCAUCAGUUGAUAAUUCUUGAACAGCUUGCUGGAAGGGGGAAGACACAGUUUUAAGUAUCAAAGUCGUGUUGGAAAUCAUCAACUUGAAGUGUGAGAGCAUAAUAGAAUAGAUCGGUUGUGGGAUUACCUGAACACAUGCCAAUGCAUAGUGGAUGUCACUCUCUGAAAUUUGGUAAUGGACUACAAACCUGACACUGAAAGAAAUGAAAAUCAAUGUAAUAAGUAACAAUAUCUCAAAAUUUAUAUGCAUCGUCAAAUGCUUUUACUUAUUUAUUAAUACUAGUCAUUUGGGCAUAAGACUAAGAGUAGACUGUCAUCUAUUAAGAGAAUGCAAGAAGAAAUAACAAUUAUAAUAUCAACCAAGCAACACAAUAGUGAAUGUCACUCUCCGAAAUUUAGUAAUGGACAGCAUGCCUAACACUGAAAGAAAUGAAAACCCAUGUCAGAAGUAAUAAUAUUUCAGAAUUUAUAUGCAUUGCUGCAUCUUUUUACUUAUCAGAAUCAGUCAUUUGGGCUUAAGACUAGAAGAGUUGACUGUCAUAUAUUAAGAGCAUGCUAUGAGGAAUAAUGAUUAUAAUAUCAACCAAGCAACACACAAGCAAACCUACAGAAAUGGUAAUCAAAAUUUUCAUAACAAAUCUAUUCCAAUUUCGGAAGGCCAAUAGAUUUGUUACCCUGAGUGAUAUCAUCAGAAAAAAAGAAUGAGCUAUAUUGGGUCCAUUAUAGCAUGUAUGGUGGAAAAAAAUAUUUGCUGCAAAGCUUACUAAAAUCCAUGAUUAAAAUUUUGAACAAAAAGAUCAAUAGGGAGGAUGGCUGUGCAUUUUGAGGUAUCAUACUAAAACAAUAGCUAGCAGUUCUCACAUUUUUUUUAUGGGUUUCAACAUAACUAAUCAUUUUCCAAGUUUCAUUGCAAAGCUAGAAAAUCAAAUACUGACACAUAGUGACUUGACAAAUGAACCUAAAGUAUGUGUUUUCUAAUAUCAAAUAUCAUGUUCAGGGUUCUGAACACAGAACUGCACCAUGUCAUUCAUCACAAAUGCAUCAUACUGAGGUAACUAUAAGCUCUAAAAUUUUCAUAAAUCAUGAUUCCUAGGUAAAUAAUCAACCGAAGGACUAGGAUUAUUUAUAUCGCAAAACAUAGAUGUCGCCUGUAUGAAAUUAAUAUAAUUUUUUUUCUAGAUGUACAAAAUCUUUGAGUUCUCCAAUAUUUCUAGGGUUGCCACAAAUUUAACUUGCAAAAAUAGGAACUAUUGAUACAGAAAAGUCAAUGCUCAUGCCUACAUGAGGAAGAAGCAAGUAAAGAAUUAACCUUUGAUAAGUGUUUAAUAUAGAUACAGCCAUGACUUUUGCAUGAGAGAAGUUGAUGUUCACAUUUCCCAGAGGAAACCGCAAGAAAAGCAGCCAUGAGUUUUGCAUGAGAACUAAGUUGUUAGACACUGGUUUACUUGUCCUUAAAACAUUGGAUAUAUGCCCUAAAAGCAAUUUAACUACAAUUAAAUAAUGAGAAAUAUAAUCUAUUCGUUCUGGUUAUGUGAAUUUACUUUUAUUGAUAUGCCAUAUUUCAUGUAGUUUGGCAUAUAAAGUUCAUUGGCCAUCUUUUGGAAAUGACAACUUCAGCUUUGAGCUGUCUACUAGAGACAUGAUCUCAUGAUUUCUUACUUGAAACAUUUCCAAGAGAUCCACACCCCCCUCUCACACACCUGCUCUGUGUUCAUGUAAAUAAGUGGCCAAGUAAAUUAACAUCCAGCAGUUCAAGCCUCCUAGUUAGUGAAUUAAAUAUAGGUGCAGAAAAUAAUUUAAUGACAGCAGGAAGAAUGGAAAUAUGCAGUAUAAGUAACACCCUCAUCUUAAGCCCUGCCUUAAAAACCUAAGUAUAUUAUCAUGCCAAAGACAACUUGGUUAUGAAAAUACUCUCUUUCAUCUCUUUGGAAGCAACACCGAGAUUUUCCUUCUAUUUUGAUCAAUUAUUUUGUUCAGUGUUUCAGAUAUGCUUCUAGUUUCUACAUGGACUCAAAAGAGUUCUUUAAUCAUAGAACCUAAUUUCUUCAUUUAUUAAUGUUGAUUUCCAAAUUUCACCAUUACUUUGGUUGUCAAGCAACCAGAAACCCAAAGAAUUUAAUAACCAGAUCAUUAAUUCAUUAUUUCUUCCUCAAACUAAGCCCCAAACUUUCAAUCCGUCAAGUAUCUUCCUAAAUUUCAACCUAAAGAUUUUAGCGAAUGAAGUCAAACAAAUCGGUCCAAUGCCUAGUCCUGUGUCAACUAUGGUCCGCAUAGGAUGCUUCAGCAGGAAGUUGGGAACAGUUGCCCUGAUCCAACCAGGUUGUACAACCAGAAAAAUACCAAGGAAUGAAUACAUUAAAGACAACUGCUAUUGUAAUAUAAUUGAAUAUGAAUGCAGAAAUUUAAGAAUCAAAGAAAUUCUAAUGCUGUUUAACCAGACUGCUUAUGAAAAUCUUUCAGUUCUGUAAGGAGCAGAAAGUAACAAAACAGAACAACUUGAAGGCACGAGCUCAGGAUUGCACCUUGUGGAGCUUGCUGGCAUUGCAAGUACACCAUGCUCUUCCAGGACUUGACAGAGCCUUUCAGGUGUUAUAAGCGAACUCUCUACAAUAUCAAAAAACACCUAUCCACAAAGAAGACAAAAUGGAAUAAUUAAAUUUUCCCAAUUCUCAAAUGUCUUCCACAGAAAAUCUGCUAGUAUGUUGCACAAUGAUUUCAUAAAAUAUAACUAUCAGCAAUAUGCUACCAUAUUGGUCUCCACUGAGGAUGUAUCAACAGUUAGUUCUUUGAUUUGUCUCAAUCCAUCUGAAAAAAAAAAUUCAGAAUGACAGGACAAAAGAGUAAAUGCUUCUGAACAAUUGAACAGUAUCUAAAAUGUAAAGUUCCUUAUUGUGAAGAUAAGCUACUAAAAACAACAAAAUAAUUAAUUUGAAUAUACACGUUGAAUGGGAAAAAACCUUUCACUGAACAGACUAAACAUAUGAACAAAGCCAGCAGAAAGUUAAACAAUGAAAAUAUAUUUAUAACCUGCAAACAUUUUGGCCUUUUUGUGAUCAUCCUCAAGCUUUCCCACAUUAUCUCGCAAAGCAACAUAAGCAGCUGCACAAAGGACUCCAACCUGCCUCAUCCCACCACCUAAGGUUUUCCUAAGCCUUUUAGCCUGAAAUAAGUGAAUUUCUGGAUUCAUAAGAAUUCUGUGGAGACAUAUAUCAGUAACUAUAUAUCUAUGCCAAUACCUUAGUAAUAAACUCUCUUGAGCCUACAAUGACAGAUCCAACUGGAGCACCCAAUCCUUUUGACAUGCAUACCUGAAUUGUCCAUUGCACAAGAAAUAAAGAAUCAGCCAGUUUCACAGCCAAAGUUCUGAAACGCAACACAUAAGAGAAGAAAGUUCAUUCUUCAUAAAUCGAGAGAAGAUAUACCCACAAUGAACAAUUAAACAAACAUUAAUAAAGAAUAAUAGGAGAAACACAACUCAUCAUACCGAAACUGAGUCAGCAGCUUCCACCAGCCUAUGAACAGGAACCCCCAGUGCCUAGCAUAUUAAAUGGGUAUAGUUAGAUAUCCAAAUUGUAUAAUUGUAUAAAGGCACACAAGCAUAGGAAUUAAAAAAACAAUGUUGUGUACAAGUUCAUAUCUUGUUUCUCAAACAUACCAAAAUUUAUGGAUAGAUACAGAUCAAACUGAUUAUGAUCACACAUACAUUACAUAAGUAAAGAGAAGUCAUAGACCAUAAUAAAAAAUGUGAAUCCUUCAUAUACUGAAGAUUAGAGCUCUGCUAUCAUAUCUAUGACACUAAGAAAGAAAAAAAAAACUUAACAUGUCCAUAAUCUAUGAAACUCAUCUAGUUUCUGUUUUCUUUUUUUGUUUUUUUUGGUUGUGGGGAGGGGGGGUGGUGGUGGGUGGUGAAAUAUCUAGAGCUAAGCCCUUUAGCCACCAUCAUUUUUUUUCCUUGGAAACCACAAGACAAACUUUUGGGAAAUAAGGAAUAGAUGCAAGAAAAUAAAGGUAUUGGACAGCAAACCUAAACUACAUCCACAGUGAACAGAAACCUACAGUUCAGAUUUAAAAAAAGAAAAAUAAUCAACUUUAUAUUUAAAGGUAUCAAAUACUUACAAUCGAAGCAUUAAAGAUGCGUGCUCCAUCAAUAUGAAGCUUUAAACCAUGCUUUUUAGCGAUCUGUCCUACCCUGUCUGUAUAUUCUGAUGAAAUGCAUCUUCCCCCACAACUGCAGUGGCAAUUAGGAAGCUAUUAAAUAAUAUCAACCCGCAGAAACCAUGCUAGCAGUAAUUUUAAUAUAACUUGCAAACUGGGCAGUAGACAAUCACACCCCUCCUAUGUUUGGAGGAGGUUCCAGCUUCAAAACUUGGGAGGUGUUUCAAAAUAUAAAAGAUGAGUUUAGCUAUCCUAGACCCAAAACAGUGCAUAAGACAGUUAAAGGGAAUGGCUGACGUUUCAUUUGAGGGGGGAAAAAAAAAAAAGAGCAGACUAUGGCAUGUGCGCUAAAGGGCAACAGCUUCCAUUUCAUCAAAAUUAUUCUUGUUUGCCUUUACAUUACUCAUCAGUCAUAAGUCAAAACUAAAAAUAGGCUAAACAACUGAUAACCACCUAACAACAGAUGCAUGAAGUAUUAUUCUGUUCUUAUAUCCUACAAAAGCUACCUGCAAGUCCUCAAGAUAACUAAUAGCUAACAGAUAUGUAACAUGCAAUAUCAUUUACUAAAUAUGUUUUCCCUUUAUUUACAAAUUGAAAGGAUUGUUGAAAGAAAGAUAACAUGCACCUGUGCACAAGCUGACACAAAAAUGAGAAUUUUCUAUGGCAAAUCAAUUAAAAUACAUGAAAAUUGUGGGCAAAAUUAGGAUGCUCCAGUAAAUAUUUGGUAUGACAAGAAAAUAUACUGUCAAAACUAAGAAGAUUGUCUAAGGAGAUGGCAUUGGCUUGUGCACCAAAGAUCUUAGAAGGCCCUGGUAAGAAGUGUGAGUUGAGUGAGAUGAGUUUGUGUCAAAUUUUGCAAAAGAAAUGCUCAUAAUUUGUUGGCAAGGAAUAAGAAAACUGAAGCUCAGGUACGUAUGACACACACACACACACACACUAACGAAAUAACAUCCUUCAAGUCGACAAGAUUAAUUGAUCUGAUUCAUGGGAAUUGCUAUGAACAAAUUCAUUCAUAUUAAACCAUUUUAACGCUUGUUUCUGCAACUGCAGGUGCCAAUCAUGUAUUAAUUUGGACAGAAAUUUUUGGAAAUGGACUUGGAAAAGCUGAGAGCAAUAAAAAAUAUAGCUGCCGAUAGAAAGGAACAAGAAUAAGUUAUUGAAAAAGUCGAACAUAUAUGAGUGGACUCAAGCUUGAUUGUAAUGAUUGUUGUUAACAAAACACAAAAGAUAUAGCAUGAUAUCAAAAGAUGCCAUCCAACUAGAGGAUCCAUCAUCAAAAGGGGCAAUAAAAGAGGUGCAGAUUCCUACUCGAGUCCCACAUCAGACAAGGUUAAAUAAAUAUUUAUUUCAUUAACGACUCACCUGAAGACCCAUAUCUAUCCACCAAAUAAAUUGCUACAUAAAUUUCUCUAUCAAAAGCAAAUGUAAACCUCUUCCAGAAUUUGUUUCGCCAAAAGUAAACUAUGAUUUAUGAAAAAAGAAAAAAAGCUUGGAAAGUCACUCAGCAAUAAAAUAAAUGAGAAAAUAAUUUAAUAAAAAAUAGUUAAACAGAUAUCUCACCCUCCAAAAUAAACAACACUUAGAAACUCAACUAACCUCUAAAAGUAUGCAGUUUGUACACAAGUUAAUGAACCGAUUAAGAAAGUUGGGUAUAGUUUUGUUCAGAAAGUAGGGUUUCAACAGAACUGCAGGAUACACCAGACUACUGAAAGCUUAAAAAUAAUGAAGGGGGUGUAUCUCAGGUGCACACAGUAUAACAGGAGUUAAAGGACAGAACCAGAAUAAUUAGAAGAAAGGUCAGUGCUUUUUUAUUGUUUCAAAGUAUUAAACGUCAUCCUUUAAAUAUGCUUGUGAAUUUUUAGGAUCGCUCUUUUUUUGUAAUUAUUCACCACUUGUAAAAUAUUUGAGAAUUUUCAAACAAAAUUCAAUAAAAGACAAAAUAAUUUGCCGAUAUCAAAUGCCACAAUCUGAUAUGUGAAGCACGGGCAGUUCUCACAAAGGAACAUAAGAAGUGUUGCAUGAGCAGCUGGUUGGUCCUAUCACUCUAAAAGCGUCCCACUAAAACAGAUUAUAUAACAGCAGCAACAAAGUUCCAUGCCGUGCAAUUAAGUAACCUCUAGGAAAUAAAUUUAAUUUCGUUCCCCAAAGUUUAUGAACUGUGUAAAGGAGGCCUGCAAAACAAAAGGAAACUGUUGUGUCAUCAAUUUCAGCACGUAAGUCACUGGUUUUCCAGUAGUUUCCUGAUGGCUUCACCAAUAUUCUUCCGUAAGUUGCUCUUAGAUUAAGUUAUUUUUAGCGCUCUGUUCCACGCAUUACUUACCAUGUCAUUUCCCAUGGUUGCAUCAAUGGUUCAUACAAGCAAUUUCUUUAUCCAUAUAGACUUCAUCACAACCCUCUUCUUGGAAGUAUGUCCAUACAGUGUUAGGCAAGCAUAAAAAAUAGGCAUCAGGUUGCAACUCACCAAACAUUGGAAACGGACGGAAGAACUAAUAGAAAAGUAUGGAAGGAAUAUUCGCACUUUUCACAACCAACAAAACCCCACAACCCCACCAUUCCUAGAAAUGUUUGAAACUUGUGUCCUACCAAAAAGUUAGGCAAGCAGACAGCUGAAGUGGACCCUAGUUAUGUUGACCGAGUGAGAAUUCAGCAGAAUUGAUAGGAUAGUUUACCAAGGUCAUAUAUGGUCCAAAGGCAGUACAUGAAGAAUAAUCAGUAAUGAACAUGAGUUAACUUCGAUUACUGCAAGAUGGAUUCUCAAACAGCAAAAGGUUGGUCUUAAGUACUAGACACCACUAGUGAAUUCUUAAAAACAACAUUUCAUUUUUAAUGGCACAGACUCUGAAAGAUUCGCACAAGUCGAUAGCCAAAUAUAUUAAAGACCGAAAAGACACUCACUUAGCAUGCGUAUUCUCCAAGCAAAUUAACCUAGUAGUCGGGUAGUAGAGUGCUCCCUCGGGAUGCCUAAUAGCAGCUUCGAUCUGAUCGAGAUCCAUGGUGCCGUCGGAUUUGUUCUUGACGGUCCUUGGGUGCACGCCUCCAAUGGUCGAUAUGCCUCCAUUUUCGUAAACAUGUAUGUGGGAAUUGUCCCCAAGGAUGACCUCGCUGCCCCUGACCUCGCAAUGGACAAGCACCGAUAUGAGAUUUCCCAUGGUGCCCGAGGGCACGAAGAGAGCGGCUUCCUUCCCCAUGACCCUCGCCAUCUCGGAUUCGAAGCGGUGGGCGGUGGGGUCGGAGCCCAAAACGUCGUCCUCCACAUCGGCGCUCGCCAUGGCAGCUCGCAUCGCCUCCGUGGGCUUCGUGACGGUGUCAGAUCGGAGGUCUACUCUUCUCAUCACCAUUGUCUGAUGUUGUUCAUAGACGUCAAAAUUUUAUCCAGCAAAAACAAUAAACAGAACAUUUCAUCAAAAUACACUGAGAAAUUAAAACAAAAUUCCUAAAUUAUCCAGCAAGUUUACAAAAUAAACUCUAUCGCAAGAAGCAGAGAGCCCGAUUCAGCAUCAGCAGCCCGGUCGCAGCCGUGCAACCAAUGGGCUACAGACCUCACUCACAUUGAGAAAAUCUUCAUCAAUGGUCCGGAAAGGAAAGUCCAGUCCAACAAUCCAAUGGCCAGAAAACCGCAUAUUGGCAAGAUUUUCCCGUCGAAUUCAAUACAAAAUAAGUACAUAAAUAACUAGAACUCUCCUUCUUCUCUGAUAAAGAUAAAAUCAACAAAAAUCUUCCUUUAUUUCUUCCAAAAAUAGAACGAAGAAUCUUACCUUCUGGUCUUAAACCCCACCUCGAUAAAACUUUUUACACUUGCCUCCUUCUCUUUCGGAGAGAAGGCAGAUUCUCAAACACCCACUAACACGAACACCCAACCCCAAAAUCCGGAAUUGUACCGAACCCUCCUCCAAAGAUCCCACCUUUGGCUCAAAUCCGAACCCCAGAAAACGCGAGAAGAGGGAGAAAAAAGAAGCAAAAAUCCUCGGAGAGCGCCCCUCCACACGUCGAGCAAGGUCGAGAAGCCUCUCCACCACUCCUUGCUUUUAAAAACCUAACCCUAAGAUUCCAUGGAAUCCUCGUUUGGAUGCACCUCAAAAUUCUGGAAUCCUCUUCAUUAUUUUCCAUCUAGCUUCCUCCAUCGCCAUCCUUCGGUUGGCAUGAAUUGAUAACGUCGUGUUGGGAUAGGAAAGCCAAGAGAUAUUUUCGUCCGGACGUCCAAAGACCAAAGUAGAAGGCGGCCAUGAUAUCAAUGAUAACGCCGACUUCUUCAAAUAACGGACCCCGUUUGACCGGAGAAAAUAACGAUAUUGCUCCUCAAAACAUCGCUAUUGAAGGUUCUAUUUUCUUCUUUAUCGUUUCUAUAUAAUACUUAGAACUAUAACGACAGGUCUCAAAAAUACGUUGGAGUAGCCAUAGCAAUGCUACGUUAAAAUACGUUGGAGUAGCCAUAGCAAUGUUAUGUUCAUUGUUAUUCUAAACCUUUUUGGCAAGUUUUCAGACAUAUAAUUGCAUGUUAAUAAAUACACACUGUCUUAUUAAAGUAUGGAUUUUGCGUUCACUAGAUAUGAAGGAUGUGGUUCCCGUCGUAUAUCAGUUUAGCACCCAUCAUAGAAUAUAUAAGAAAGAAGAGAAUUCUAUUUUGACAUUUUAUGGCAGCUAAGAAGCAGCAUUUAUCUGCCAAAGAGUUUCAUUAGAAAAGCCUAGAUUCUUGUCAUUCUGAUCAGCAACAAAGGCAACAUUGAAUUGACCAAUAAAAUAAUUGACAAUUAUAGUGGGGAGCCCGAUGUAACAUCUUGUGGGAAACGUACCUCAGCGCCCUGCAUUGAUCUUUGACACUGACGUUUGGAUCUUAUGCAUUGUUACUAUUGCUGGGUGUUGCCGUCAAAAUCCGGCCUGACCACGAGGCGCUUGGUCUCGAGGCGUAUCGCUGGGCACAACGUCUUUUAAAACUUGCGUUCGUAUGCAAAUGGCAACAACUAGGCGGCUUCUAAGAAAGUAUUCAAUCUUUAAUGUUGAGCCACGUAUCUCUGUCUGGCCAGUCCAACUUGCCAGAUGUAAUAAGAUACCAAGAACAAAGGCCAGCAACAUCUUUUUAAACUUGUGUUCGUAUUGGAAAGGCAACAACUAGGCGGCUCCCAAGAAAGUAAAAUACAAAUUUGCUAUUAUCAUCAUUGUAAUUAGUCUUACAUGUUGUCUCACAUAUCCCUGUCUAGCUAGUCUAACUUGCCAAGUGAAAUUAUAAACCAAGAACAAAGGGCAGCAACAUCUUUUGGAAAUUGUGUUCAUAUUGGAAUGGCAACAACGAAGCAGCUUCCAAGAAAGUAAAGUACAAAUUUGCUAUUAUCAUUACUCUACUCAAGUCUCACAUGUUGAGCCAGAUAUCUCUAACUACCAUGACUUGCCAAGGAAAAUUAGAUACCAAGAACAAAGGGCAGCAACUAAAGGGCUCUUUGAAAGAGAAAAAGACAUUUUUGCUGUUAUCAUCGCCGCCCUCAGUCUUACAAGUAGAGUCCUAUACCUGUGUCUGGCUAAUAGUUGCCAAGGAAAAUUAGGUACCAAAAGCCGCAUUAGAUGGGAAAUGCAUGCACCGAAUACCAGCCAUCUUUAGAUUAAUCAAUUGGCAUCCCUCGUGCUAGUGGUCCUUACUGUAAUUUUUCUCAAAAAAAAAGAAGAAGAAAGAAACACGUAAACUUAAUGCUUGUCUUCUGGAUAACCAUCUCACCAGAAUUGACGGCUCCAACAAGUUUAUUGAUGUCUCCAACAUGUCUGAUAUCUUCGGAAUCUGCAGCUGGAAGCACUGUAAUUUCAACUGAUCUUUCUUCGAAUCAAAAUAUUGUUGUCUUCACUGGAAUCAGUUUCAAUCACAUCAUCCAUUUUGACCUCAUAAACUGAAUUGGUAACCGUCUUCUCUCCUACCGUCAGAUCCAAGAAAAUAGCCUUACAAAUUAUUUCACCUUCCACAACAUUGCAACAACAAUUGGCUGCAGAGUUGGACCUCAAGCAACUGUCAUAUCUCUCUCUGAAGGAUGAUCUUCCACCACAACUUAAUUGCAUGAGUUCUCCAUGUGGUUGGCUAGUUAGCUACUAAUUGUGCAGGUCCAUCAGAACAAGCAAAAAUUCUGUUCAACUAACUUUUGCACAUCAGUUUUACUUCAACAUGUAUCUGGCAAAUUGUAAUGAGAAUCUGCAUUGUCAUUAACUUGACCCACAAGUGCCAAAUUUUCAUCUAGUGUUUGAUCGUGCUUCGCCUGUCAUUUUGCAAUCAUAAUCUUUUUUUUCUUUACACUUCCAGAAGCCUCUGGAUUCUAUCAUACUCUGCCAAAAGCUGCUUUCCAUAACAGUUGUCCUAUAUACUCCCAACAGGCCACAGAGUGUGCUUCCAGUUCUCUUUAUUUGUGAACUUCUCUGUUGAACCACAGAAUCUGCAAAGCCAACACACACACACACACACAAAAAAGGAAAAGGCCAGGGUCUGUAUUAAGCUGCCAAUUAUUUCUGCUUCUGUAAAGCAUAGAACAAUCCAAGUUCUGUUGCAGACUAGUUAUUUUCCUAAGGGCUGACCGUAUAUCUGAACAUAUUAUUCCAAUCCUUGAAUGCCAAAUAAGGUGCAAUGCACAAUGCAAGCUUCUUAAGACGAUAAUAAUAACAAUAAUGACAAUGAGAAUCAAUAGAUAACAUGCCAAAGAGACAGACACAAAAGACAGAUAUAUGUCUACAUUUUUGAUGCAUUGAAUAUAUGGACUAGUGAUCGGUCAAAAUGAUUUUGGUAAAACAACUCCACGGAGUAACAGAAUAUUUGCCCUUGGGAAAAGUGUUUCCUGAUAUCUAGUCAAACCUUCGGACAGAAUGAAUGUGGAAAAUUUUGGUUACGGCUGGAUAGUGUGCAUAUCGUAUCCUUGGGAACCAAUGUCAAGAGAUUCAUUACUUAGAGGAUCCGAAUGCAAAAGUCAAAUCUCCACAUAAGUAGAUACAUCUCACAACAUGUCAACUUCAAUAACUACAUUCUGAUAUUGUUUUCCUAGAUGAAUUGGAGCUCAGAUGAAUUUCAUCAUAAUAAAAUUCUCAUGUAAGAGAACUUUCUGUUCAGGUCAAUAUGUGCAUUUAUUUGCAUACUAUCUUCAAAAGACUAUAGCUGCUGCAAUGAUGACCUAAAGCAGUCAUCCUAACCUUGGCUCUGGCUGAAUUCUCAGCAGCACUCAUUGAUCAUAUAGUCAACAGCCCUUUCUGUUCUUGCACCAAGGACACAAUGGGUCUGACAUUGACCAUAAUUUCAAAAUGAUGCAUAGGUUUUUCACCCAACCCAAUUGCAGCUUUUAAAAAGAAGACCCUCACUUUGAGCCACGGUGAAGAUUCCUUCUUACCACAUCUCGCUCUCCUCCAUCGAGUAUUCAUCACCCUUUAAGUCAACAACAAUUUAUUUCACAAGUUCAACAAAAUGCUUUUGAUGCUUUCCACAUCUAAAUAUAAUCACUUCUCUCAAGGUUCUUCAAGGUGCUCUUGAUCCUGUCCAUUAUGUCCUUCAAAGCAAGUUGCUCAAACUAUUGACAGCCACUACCCAUCACGAAUAAGUUUACGAAACAUCAACUUCCUAUGAUACUCAGGAUCAAGAAAAUAAAGCAAAGUAGGAUUAAAAGCACACUUUUAGGAGUUUCACUUAGAAAUCUAAAAUCAAAACCAAAGUGUUCCAGUUUCAACCAAAACCAAUCCAAAAUCAGGGCUGGUUCUGGAUUGUUCAGCUUUAGGUAACUAAUGGAGCCAUAUAAAGUGCACGCAAGCUAAAAUACUCAUCCUUUUAUCAUUUCCUAUAUUUUUAGAUGCUAAGAAGCAUGUUCAAUAGAUUAAGAACUGGAUUUUGCAACUUUUAAGAAAAUUCAAAAGUAUUGAUUGUUAUGGGAAAGCACUUUUUAAAGCAUGUGUUUGUCUCUCUUAAAUCUCAUAAGAGGGCACCAGCUGACUUGGUAAAGUCACUGGGCAUUGGAUACCUGACCUGGGUUCAACUCCUGCCCUCACCCCCAUUUCAAAUGGCUUCCUCCUUAGUUCUCAAUUUAAAAAAAAAAAAGAAAUAAAUAAAAAUAAAAUCUGAUAAGGCAUUGGAAUCUCAUACAAUGAAUUGGCUAAUACAUUGAAUGAUAUAGACUUAUUUGGCUAAGCUUUUAGAGUAUCAAAAAGUACUUUUGGCCCUCAAAAAGCACUUUUGGAUGGUAUUGUGAUGUUUGGUAAAAAGUCAAAAAGUUGUUUUAGUCUUAUUAAAAAGUUGAAAAGAUCUACUUGAGGAAAGCUCUAUUUUGAAGCUUUCUCUAAAAGUAUUUUUUGGCUCAUAUCGGAAAGCUAUUUUGAUUUAAAUAAAAUUAUUUUAAUGACUAAAAUAUAAUAUGAUAUAUUAUAAACAUAUAAUAUCAAUUCUCAUAAUUAUAUCAUAUUAUAUUAUUAUACUAUAAAUAUAAUAUAAUAUAAUAAUAAAUUAAUAUUAUGAUAUAUUAUAAAUAUAUAAUAUAAUCUAUUAUAGAAUUAUUAUAUGAUAAAAAUAAUAAUAUUUAUUACUAAUAUAAUAUUAUUAUAUUAUAAUAAUAUAAUAUACUAUGUUAUAUUAUAUUUAUUAUUAGAUUAAAUUAUAAUCCAUUAUAUUAUAUUACAUUAUAUAUUACAUGAUAAUUACAAUGAUAUUAUAUUAUAGUAUAUAUUAUAUUAUAUUACAUUAUAUGAUAAUAAUAUUAUAUAAUAAAAUAAUAUUUUAAAAUAUAAUAACAUUUAUGUUAUAGACAUAUAAUAUAAUUAUAUUAUAAUGUCAUAUUAUAUUAUAGCUAGAUUAUAACUAAUAUAUUAUAUUACAUUAUAAAUUAUAUUAUAAUUAUAAUAACAUUAUAUUAUAUUAUAAUAUUAUGUUAUAUUAUAUGACAAUAAUAUUAUAUAGUAUAAUAAUAUUUAAUAUAUUAUAUUAUAUUAUAUUAUUCUUUAUUAUACAAUACUAUGCAAUAUCUUUUAUUAUCAUUUUAUCAUAUCAAAAAUAUUUUUUAUUUUAGUUACCAAACAUAUAUUAAAAUUUUAAAGCACUUUAUAAAUAUGACUACUAAAUAGCAAAUAGCUUUUUAUAAAAAUUCUACUUCCAAAAGCUUUAGUUCUCUAAAGCUCUACUUCUAAAAGCUCCAAAAACUCUACUGCUAACAGUAAUUCCAAACUAGACCAUAUUACAUUAUAACCCUAAUUUUAUAAUUAUAUUUUUAGAAAUAAUUUUUAUUAUUUCAAUCUGGAACCAAAUUCCCUGAACAAUAAUAAAUUUAAAAAUAGUGUCUAUUUUAUUUUCUUAACUUACGUCAUAUUUCUUUCUUUAUUAACAUUUCCUACUUUAACUAACAUUUUAUAAUGUUUGACCAUAAUGGCCAAAACCAAAAUUCAUUGCAAAAAUCUUCUUUUUUUUUUCAGCUGAAUCUGAAUUUUCAAAAAUCUUGGUUCUGAAUAUCAAUCAUCUAGUAAAUGAUCAUGCAUUCAUCUCCAAUGGUCCACAAAAUUCCACUUCUUAACAACUGCUGUCUGAAGCAGUUGCCACACAGAAGCAUUCUUUUUUCUUUCUUAUGUCCUCAACAUGGGAACCCACAUAGAUAUCCUACCCAUUGUCUCAAAUGUAGCCGUUUCGGCCACAAGAGUAGUUCUAUCAAGAUACAAUUGUCCACCCAAAUAUCGGUGCAUUCCCCUGGAUUAGUUCCUUUGCCAUUACAAGGAUCAGCAAAUAUCCUUUACUUCUUCAAGUUCAAUUAUAUUGUAUGAAACAAACAUGUGAUGUAUCCUAGCAAUAUUUUAUUAGAUCUAUGAAUAUGCUUAUGAUCACAUCCAAAUAUGCUGGGCACCAAACAUCAACCAGAUUUCAAGAUUUUGUCAUUCAUUUAUUGAUCCAAUUUUACAAAUGCAUCUGUUGAAGCAUGCUGAAGCAUACCAAAUAAUAAGUUAACUUAGAACUAGGUUUUGUGGUCACCCACUCAGUUAACUAGGUUUUGUGGUCACUCAGUUCAAAGUUCAAACCAUCUCCACCACAUAACCUAUUUCUAAUUUGUCAAACCCAAGAUCCAUGACUAAGUUAACCUUUUGAUACCAGAGCAGAUAAGAUGAGCUUUGCGGAGCUUUUCUUGGGCACAGCCUCUAGAGUAAGCAGGACAUGGUUUGGGAUUAUCAUGGACUUGGGAUUAGAUAUGACAAAGCCAGGUGUGACAACUAUAACCAUUAACAAAAAUGACAUAUAUUGGCCUUCAACUUCGGCAGAAACCUCAAAAAUCUAAUCAUUACAAUGCUCUCGGUCAAAAGGAGUGGAUAGUACAAUGUGACUAGCACCAUAAAAGGAUGGUUGUUUGCCUAGUUCAUAGCUGUUCCCUUUUAGUUUCACUUUUUGCACUUGAAGCUACAGAUUUGCUGCGAGACCAACUACCAACCUCAGCGAGGAACUCUGCUCCAAGGCCCAUAACAGCAUGUGCAACAAGCAGCAACACUUGAAUAGUGGUGCCCAUCAACCGUCUAAAGGAGGGGCCCUAUCAUUAAGUCGAGUGCCUGCAAUCCCAACCAAGGCAAUAUAACUCUAGCUUAUCUGGUCAUAGUCCAUUACUUGAUCAUGCUUUCUCUUUCUUUGAGCAUCCUGGAGUAUCUUGCUUCAGUUUCUCGCAUUAAGCAUUUGAUAUUGGCUCUUGAUGUGCUUUACCACCAAUUAUGUUGGGGGAAAUCCUUUGAUUAUCAAGUAUGAUAAUCACAGCCAGUAUAAAACUCUUUGUACAUAUUGUAAGGCCUUGGGUCACAGUUUGUGGACUUCCAACAAGCUCACCAGGAAGAAAAUGAUUCACUAACAAUAUUCAACCAUCGCAGUCACUACACUUACAAGCUCCCAUGCAUGAAUAUGUUAUUGCAACAUAUCUUGGACCAUCUUGAUCAGCCUACUGCACUAUGCAUAUCAGUUUCUUCAACCUCUAGUACAUCUGCUCUCGCUGAAAUAUCCAAUACUUUUAAAUCUAAUUAAAUAGUUGACUGUGGAGCCUCUUCCAUUGUCAUCCUGGCCAUAUAAUUUUUGAUGCCUCCAUUCUGGCUCAUUCAUCACCGCUUCAAACUCCUUUUCAGAUAUAAUCUGAUGAUGGUUCUCCUAUACCGAUUACACCCUAGGGUAUUCCUGCUCGCUGUACGGCAUCACUAGCUAUUUUUCAGUACUUCUUGUUUUACAUGUCCCAAACUUGCUAUGGGCAUUUUCUCUGUUAGCUUGCCAAUCACCAUUGAACUAAUAUUUAACUCUUCAACUUGUUUGGUGCAAGAUUGUCAGACAAUGUCAUAUUAGGUAUCAAACAACACUCUACCAUGCUUUACUCAUUUACAUUUCAUUUAAAUUUCAAAUACUCAUUAAGCACAAACAAACUUCAGCAUCAACCAUCCUCACAACAUACACAUCCACUAAAAGCAACCAGCAUUAAUAUGGAUAUAAUAACAUAAGCAGGUCUAUAAAUAAGAUGAACAUGUAGCUUUUAAACAUAACCACAACCAUCAAGCCAUGUAUAACUUAUUCUGGGUCAGAUGGUUAUGUUGAAUAAUAAGCAUAUCAAAUGUUUGAGGAAGGGAUCAUUACAAAUUUUUGCACCUUUCAUCAAAGGCACUGGUGAACAGAAAGAAGAAAAUUAUUAAAUUGCUAGUGCCUGCCUCAUUCUGCCGUACCAUCAGUCAGUAUCUGUUGAACAGCAUGCUGGGGGAAAGUUUCAGAUCAACAUCAUAUAAGAAACCAUCAGAUUGAAGUGUAAAAGAAGAAGAAAUCAGUUGUCGGUUUACCUUAAUACAUGUUAAUGCAUAGUAUACAUCAUUCUCUGAAAUUUGGUAAUGGAGGACAAGCCUGACACUGAAAUAUGUGAAAAACAACACCAUCACAAUACCUCCAGUUCAAAUGUAAUGAACUAUUUUUAUCCUUAUUAAUCAAAAUAUUUGUCAGUUUGACACAAGUCUGGAGACUUAGGCAAGUAGACUGUCAUCUAAAGAGAGAUUGCUACAUUUAAUGAUUACUAUAAUAUCAUUAAAGCAACAUGAAGCCAAAGCAAAGGCGAUGCUAAUCAAAUUUCUCACAACCAAUGUACUUCAAUGUUAGGAGGUAAUCUCCUAAUCUGGGUUUCAUCAACCAAUCAAAUAUACACCAGCUAUUUUGUAUUCAUUAGACAUACAGUUGUGGGAAUGAAUAUGCAACGAGACUCACUAUAAUUUGCGUAAGAGCUCUAAAUAAAUAGAUCUCUGGGUAUUAUGGCUGCUCUCUAUGAAGUAAUAGACUAAAGCAAUAGCUACUAGUUCCUAGGUAGCUGAUCAUUUUCAAAACUCUUAUCCCCAAGGUAGAAAAUCAAACACAGAUACAAAAUGACAUGGAAAAUAAACCUACAACAUUGCACCUCUAACUCACAUUUUAUGCUCAGAGUUCUUCACACAAAAAACUUCAAGGAUUAGGCCAUGCAUCAUAAAGAUCAAUUACUAAAGUAAAUGUCAGGUCUAGGGAAAAAAAUCUCAAAUGUGCCCAGUCCUAUGAAAAUAACAAAACAGAGAACUAAAACUAGAUUACUGCUGUGACAAUUAUUUUUGAAGGAUUUUCUAAUCCAUCAAAGUUUUUUAUUUUUUUUAUUCUAUAAAUGCCAUGAAUUUGACCUCACAAAUAGAAAAUCCUGUCUCAUUGUUUAUUUUUUCACUCUGUUUUUGAAAUAGUAGGAAAAACUAUUUCAACUAAAAAAACAAAAACCGUUUGAAACUUAUUUUAACAUUAGAAAGAUGAGCAAGAACCAUGUUACACAAGAUAAAAUUCUUUUUGUUAGGUGUGAAAUGCAAGCAUGAAUGUGAUGAGCCUCUAAGAGAUAACUGUUGCUGCAAGUCAUGCACUAGAAUGGACAAAUCCAAGUUUAGAUCAGAUUCUUUAAGAUAAAAUAAAGUUUCAAUUGCAAUCAUUCGCAUGCAUAUGCGUGCAAAAACAUGAAUUCUUGAAUCCAGAUAUAGAUUUAUUACAGAAUAAGAAUUUAACUCAUCAUGCAAAAGAAGAAAAGAUAAGAUAAAUUUCAUGCAUAAUCUAUAUAUCUGAAACAAAGUUUACAAAAUUAAGCUCGUUUUAUAAUACUAUGGUUGGUCGAGCUUUCCAUAAUCUUACCUAGCAGGAAAGAAUUCGUUGAGCUCGAUAACGACUUUUCUCUUUUAUGAAAAGGUCACAUUGUGUGAUAUGAGGCAAAAUUCAAUGAAUAUAAUACAGACAACUUCCAUUCUAAUAUAGAUGAAAAUCCACCCAAAAAAAAAAAAUGAAAUCCUAAUGCUAUUUUGACCGGAACGAAUAUGCAAAACUUGCUUUGCUAAAAUGAAAAUGCAGAACUUCCAAUGCUAUGAAGGACAAGUAAGGAAUAACGCAGAAUAGCCUAGUGGCAGCUGCCUGGGUCAAACCUGGUUGAGCUUGCUGGCAUUGCAAGUAUGCCAUGUACUUCCAAGACUUGGCAGAGCCUUUUAGGUGAUAUGAGUGAACUAUCUGCAAUGCUAAAGAAAAUCUGUCCACAAUAAAGAAGAAAUGGAAGAGUUAAAUACCCAUGAUUAUUACAUAGGUCUUCCACAGUAAAACACUGAUGAGCAUAGACUUCAAAAAGCAUAUGUUAUGACUGGUAGGUUAUACCAACCAUAUUAGUCUCCACUGAGGUUGCAUCAAUACUUAGUUCUUUGAUUUGUUUCAGCCCAUCUGAAAAAACCAAUAUUGAGAAGAGUAUAAAUGCUUCUGAACAAUUUAACAAUAUAGAAUUCCAUACUAACUUGAUUCUUGUGAAGAUAAGCUACUAAUUCGAGCCAAAAGAAUUGCUUUGAAUAUAUCAUCAGAAGUCAAAAGGUAGGAAUGCCUUCCAUCCAAUAAAUGACUAGACGUGAUGUAAAUUUGGUUGUAGGUUAAUGAGAGAAAUAUAUAGAACCUGCAAAAAUUUUGGCCUUUCUGUGAUCAUCCUCAAGCUUCCCGAUGUUUUCUUGCAGAGCAACAUAAGCUGCUGCGCAAAGCACUCCAACCUGUCUCAUGCCGCCACCUAAGGUUUUCCUAAGCCUUUUAGCCUGAGAGAAGUUAAAUAUCAUAACUACAAGUCAUGUGGAUAAAUAUACUAGCAACUUCAUAUGUAGACCACUACCUUAGCAAUAAAGUCUUUUGAGCCUACAAUGACAGAUCCAACCGGAGCACCCAACCCUUUUGAUAAGCAGAGCUGAAUAAUCAUUGGAUAAAAAAAUAAAAACAAUCAUUCUUUAUUUUUUAUUUAUUUUUCUUUCUUAAGAGACAGAACCAUUGCAUAUUUCAUGGCCAAAUGCAUAACAAGCAAUGGACAAGAAAAGAGAGUUCAUGCUUGAGUUAACAAUAAAAAGAAACCCUCAGAAUGGACAAUUGAACAAACAUUAAUGAAGGAUAAAAGGAUGUGAACAAGUUAAAUCAUACCAAAGCUGAGUCCGCAGCUUGUAGAAGCCUAUGAACAGGAACCUUCAGUGCCUGACAUAUUGAUUGGAUACAUUCAGAUACACAAACUGCAUGAGCAAAUAAACCCAAAUAUGAAAAAUCAUGCUAUAAAUAAAUUCAUAUUCUUGUUUCUCAAAUACAGUGAUGUCAAAUAAUAUGUACAGAUAGACACAAUUGAAGUUAUUUUUUGUGUGUAUGUGUUUGGUGCGGGGUGAGGGCUAAAUCAAAGUGAUGUUGACCACGCGCGUGCGCGCGCACACAUACAUACAUAUGGUUAAGAUAGAAGCAAUAUAGAGACCUAUAAGACAUUAUCUAGUCAAGUUAAAAUCAUAUUACCAUUAUCAUCAGUUGGUCCAUUUGUAUAACAAAUAAAAAACGUACUAUUUUCUAAGCAAGGACCUUUUUCUUUGGGAAGUUCUACCCAAUGAAAUUUAUACAGCAUUUAUUGAAAGCUGUCCAAUCAACAUAAGCUCAAAGACAAGACAGUUUCUUUAAGCAUUUAACAAUAACUAUUCAUUAUAUCAAAAAAUGACGUAUCAAAUUUCAAUACAUAAAUAUGUGAAUUACAUAAAAGGUAAAUAAACCAGCAAUGACAUUUUAUUGAUACUUACUACAGAAGCAUUGAAGAUGCGAGCUCCAUCAAUAUGAAGCUUCAAACCAUGCUUUUUAGCUAUCUUUCCUACCGUGUCUGUAUAUUCUGCAGAAAGGCAUCUCCCCCCAGAACUGUCACAACAACCAAGAAAGCUAUCAAACAAGGGAAUGUGAACUUGUGAAGAAAUUAUGCAUUUAAUGAAUACUUACAAUGACCACAAGAAAGCAUGCUAUGCAUUUUUUUUUCCCUCUUUUACAAAUCCUAGAAUUUAAAACUAUACCAUGAAGUCAGAGGGAAUUGUUGGCAUUUCAAGAACGCAAGCCAUAAAAGUUUCUAAAAUGGGAAGCAUUAGCUUCCAUAUUCAUAUGCGGAUUCGUUAGUCUUCUCAUGUUAAGCAUCAGUCCUAGGUUAAAACUGAAAGAAAGAGGCUAAUUCCAUGAUGACAAUACAUGGUAUGAUGUCACUAGGAGAACAAACAGAGAUGCAUGAUUGUUUUUUCAAAUGUUUUCUUUAACAAAAAAAAAAAAAAAAGGGUUCCUGCAAAACCUUGGGGCUUGGACCAAUUAUGUCAUGAAAACUAAUAAAUUUGUAAUGUAAGAUGUCGUAUAUUAAAUAUUUUCCAGAGUAUCCAUGAUCAUAAUCUUUCCUUUGUCUACAGCAUGUGAAAGAUAGUCUAAUAUGGAAGAUCACAUGAAAUCAUAUAAAAUCUAAAAAAUUAGGAACAUGAUUUUUAUGUAGUGAAUCAAUUAGAAUGCAGUUAAUAAGAUGAUCAUAUUAAUUUUAUAAAAGACUGGAGAAAGAGAGACACUCACUUAGCAUGUGUGUUCUCCAAGCAAAUUAAUCUAGUAGUCGGGAAGAAGAGUGCCCCAUCAGGAGAUCUAAUUGCUGCUUCAAUCUUAUCAAUGUCCAUGGUGCCAUCAGGAUUGUUUUUCACCGCCUUUGGGUGCACGCCUCCAAUGGUCGAGAUGCCUCCAUUUUCUAAAACAUGUAUGUGAGAAGUGUCCCCAAGGAUGACCUCACUGCCCCUCACAUCGCAAUGGACAAGCACAGAUAUGAGGUUUCCCAUGGUGCCUGAGGGUACAAAGAGUGCAGCUUCCUUCCCUGUUAGCUUUGCCAUUUCAGAUUCAAGGUGGUGGGCAGUAGGGUCUGACCCCAAGACGUCGUCAUCCACAUCAGCGCUUGCCAUGGCAGCCCGCAUUGCCUCGGUGGGCUUUGUGACAGUGUCGGAUCGGAGAUCCACUGUUCUUUUCACCAUUCUCUGAUAUUGUUUAGAUACUAACACCCCUCAGUCCUUUCCUUAAAGAUAUCAGAAUUAAGUUGUAACUUCUUGAUCUUGUAGUCUAAGACACAUACACAACAAGAAGAAGACGAACAAGAAGAAUCUUGAGAUGAAGACCGCAUGCAAUUUUGCAUACAGUUGUUCUUAGAAAAUCAGAUUAUGGGUAAUUACACUUAAAGGGAAAUUCAAAAAUCCAAGAAAGAUUUUUUUUUUUUUGUAUAUAAAAUAGGGGUAAGAGGUUGAGAUAUGCAAACAUGUAAAGAAACAAUUCAAGUGGAAAAUUAACAAACUUACAUUGUACCUUUUUGACAAAUUAUUGAAGAUCUUUGUCAACUUGGUAAGGCAAUUCAAGAAGAAAUUUGACAUCUAUUAGGAUGAUGACAAUUUGACAUCUAUUAAGAAUAUAAUUAAAGUACAAAAUUUUGACUUUCAAGAAACAUCGCAUUGGAAGAAAAUGAUAAACCAGCAAAGUUCUUAAGGACUCCUAGCAGAUAAUUUAACAAUAAAAUAUGAAAAAACGCGGCCAAUUAGAGAGAGAGGGAGAGAGAGAAAAAAAGGAAGCCAGUAACCAACAUCAAGCCGCAUCAAGCGUCCCUUUGUUGUUUCUUUGACCCAAACAACUACAUUCCCCCACUUUUUUUUUGGUAACAGCGAUAGCUCUACUUCUUUUUAAGAAGAUUAGAUUAAAAAAGAACAAUCUUGUUUCUUUGAGGGUGAGAAAAUAAAAGAAUCUCACCUUUGUUCGUUUGUAAACCCAACCUCGCAAUUGGAAAGAUGAAAUCUUUACACUUGUGCCCGACUUCCAAGCAAUCAAACCCAGACUCCUCUCAAGAACCCACCUGUCCAAUACCAAAAACCCUACUCGCAAAAGUCCCACCUUUGUCUCAAAUUCGAGACCAAACACGAUAGUGAGAAACAGGAACUAGGUCAGAGUCCUCACAGAUGCCCCUCAACGCAUCAAGGAUCCUCUAUUUAUAGCCCUAAAGAAACCCAGGUUCCACCCCAGGAAUCCAAGCGCCAUACCUCAACCCUGUUUUCCCUGUCUCUGCUUUCCUCUCCUCUUGUUUUUCUACUUAUUGAUUAAUACCAUGGAAACGUCUCUCUCCGAGACCGAGACUCGAAUAGGAACCGGGUUUCUUAGCCCACUGGAUAUUUCUCUUGGUCUCUGACACGGAGAGAAAAAAAGGAACGACGCGCGGAGCUCCCCGCGGGAAGAACGUCGCCACGUAGUGAAGGAACGGAGACGAAACUAAACGUUCGGCACCGCGCAUGCUGAAUGCAUGGUAACGGGGAAGGACACAUGUCGAGCAGUCGGGUUUUGACCUGGGUCCGACCCGUUUAGCUCGGGUUUGAAUUGGACUUUUUUGUCACGGUUACCUGAUUUUGAUCCCUCUUGAUUUGUAGUCGGUUUAUAUCAUUGAAUUUCUAAAUAUCCCACAUUUUUCUAUAAUUAAUAUACAAAUAUAAUUUAUUUUUUUUUGGGUAAGUGAUGUAAUAUUGUUUUCAUAUCUACAACCUUCCCCGCUUUUUUAAAUUAGAAACAUCCCAAAUUUCGCAUGCAUGAUGACCAUGAUUGAGAGGGCCUUCUAAAGUGGCAACACAUACAUGUUGUCGUAAUUGAGAAAUUAGUUUUCCAAUUCAAAGUUGAGAUGAUAAGGAUCCUGUUUCUUUAUCGGCUUGUCCGAUAAUUGGAUCAAGCGAGGUUGGUUAUUAAAAAGUUAAAGCCAAUUUCAGAUAUCGAUUUAUCAUAGAUUGUAGAAUAUAGUGGUCCAUAGAUUAAUUCUAAUAGUUCAUCAAAAAUCAUGUUCCAAUGUCUUCUUAUUCAAAAUUAUCGGUUUAUUAUGAAUUGCAGAACAUAAUGGCCCAUGGAUCAAAUCAAAUUGUCCAUCAUAAAUCAUGUCCAUGCCUUCUUAUUCAAGAUUACAUAUUAAUCAUGCCAGGAGCAAUUCACAAAAAGUUGUUGGAUCCUCAUAAUAGGGGUUGUGGAUGUACUCCAUAUUCUGCAAGAACCUAUUAUCCAAAUGAAGAGGUUUUUGCUUUUGAAAAUAUAUUUCUAGCUUCAAUAUUUUUCUCAUAAAUCCUCAUAUCUGAUCUAUGUCAGCUAGGUUUUAAAUGGAUAGAGGCGUAAUUCUUGCAGUGCAUGGGCAGUUGUACAUGUAUAUCUUUUACAUCGUUUAAAAUUUUAGAAUUUGCUAAUAAAUAUCAAAGUAUUUCAAUAUGUUGACAUGAAACAAUAAUCCAGUUUCUCUGGGAACAUACUUGGGAACUUGGUACCGCUGCCAACCCAAUAGUAUCAGUUAGGCAGUAUAGCUAGGUAAGCAAUAUAUUAUUAUGGUACAAAGUUCCUGUCCCUUGUUUGUUUGCCUUUUUGGCCCAUUUUAUUUUCAUAUGAUCGACCAUGUCGUUGGAUUUAGACUUCUCUACGAUCCAAUGGAUCAGUUGUUGGGACCAGUAAGAGAAAUCCUCUUCUUUUGCAUUGACCUAAGGGUCCCAAACAAAUUGAGAGCUCGGCUCAAGCUAGGAAAAGCUUGAAUGAAACUUGGUUUAAAGCUAAAUAAACUGAGCUUGAACCAGUAAAACAAGCUCAACAUUUAUUUCAAGCUAAGUCAAAAACUGAUCCAGCUUGAUCAAGCUUGGCUUGGCAGGACAUGUAUAUAUAUAUAUAUAUAUUGUAUAUUUAUAUCUUAUAUAAAUGAGUCAUUGAGCCAAGGUUCCAACUGGUAUGUCUUUUUAAUCUUCGGCUAUCAAGCACUUGCUUCAAGGGUAUUAUCCUUUUCCUUUAGGUGAAGGGGGUAGGAUUUUGAUUUCUAUUGGAGUCAGCCCCCAAAGGAUAGGUUAAAUUUAGCAUAAGACNNNNNNNNNNNNNNNNNNNNUAUUCUUUAGAUCAAUUAACAAUCAAUUUAGGCCUCAAACAAAACUCUUAACCAGACUUGAAAUCAAGAGUUGAGUUUUUGUUCAAGCCUGAACCAACUUGAUUUAACCUUAAUUUGAUUUCUGCUCAAUGCUGAAUUAUCAAGUUGAUCAAGCAAGCUCAACUUCUUGAAUUGAGUAUGCAGUAAUGAUAAUAAAUCAAGCUUGAUCUCAAAAUUCAAAUUCAAAUUAAUUUAAAUCAAGGCCGAUCAAAUUCAAGCUUGAUCAUGCUUGGCUAACAGGGCUUAGCAGCAGUUUUAACAUAAAUUGAAGAGGAGAGAUUAAGCUUCAUCAAUAAAGAGUUUCUACAACUUCUUUAACAAAGAGUUUGUAUUACUAAAAUGCUUUACCUAUAAAAAUAUGGGUAAAAAUGUAAAGCAAAUUGUCUAAUUGAAAAAGAAAAAGGCCAUAUUUUGAUGCCAUUUCUAUAUAUAAAAUAUUAAAGAAAAUAAUAGAAGGCUUAUUUCUUACUAAAUAAUACAAUAUACGCCAUUCCUCACCUGAAAAUAAAUAUUGGCAGUAGCCUCACGAACCAACAAGCUUUAAGUUCUUGGAUGAGUCCAGCCGUUUCCUUCCUCUGAAUGGAUCACCCAAUCAGCACAUACUACUGGAUAAAAUUCUCAUCUAAUUUGAUCUCUAUCUUUUUUUUUUUUUCUUUUAUGGGUACAGGAUCUUAUCCUUAUAUUUUCCUUGAGACCUUUACGUGCAUACGUAGUAGAACCCAAGUAGCCAAUAUUGGCGGAAGUAUCAAUUGCAGUUAAUGUAGUAAUCGCUUGCUAUAAUUCAGAGUGGUAGUAGCAUGAUAUCCCCACUUUCUAAACACCAUCUUGCAGUUCAAUUACUUAAUAUUCUCAAUCUAAUCUCUCAUCUAUUCUAUUCGAGCUGCUUUCUCUUCCUCAUUUAUCAUCUUCCCUGAAGAAAAGUAUGCUUACUUGGAAUACAGAUUAUAGUUUUAUGAUAUGGAGGCUUUCUCCAGUAAGAACUAGAAAUGGUUACCAGAAAAAGGUGCAGUACAUGUGGAAGAAAAGUCAAGAUGGUAUUUAAUUUGAUGUAAUAUUUUUAUUUUUUUGAUUAUUCAAUUUAUAUUGAUAGAUACUCUCCCAUUGGGUUCUUGUCACUCUUUUAUUCUUUUCUAAAGAGAGAUGGGUCGUAAUGUUCGGAUUUAGUAAAGAAAUUACGGAUUUUUGUUUGUCUAAGGCAAGCGACAGGGACAGACCCCUCAGUUACAAAGCUUUGAACACAACCAGCAGGCCAUUAAAUGAAAUCUCUGAUCCAACAAUCAACGGGAAGGCCGGAGCCAAAAUAAUUUUAAGGCAUGUUGGGGUGAGGGGGAGCCAAAAUAAUUUUAAGGCAUGUUGGGGUGAGGGGAAUUCGACUAUAAAGUUGAAAUGGAAAUGAAAAUAAAUUACUGUUAUUUUAACUAUUUGAUUGGAGAGAGUCCGAUCCCAUUCAGAUCCCAAAUGUCCUAUUCAUUGGAAACUUAAUUUCUAUUCUCUUUUGGUAUUCAAAUCUCAUUUUAGUUUCAAUUUUAAUUUUAAUUAUAAAUCAAAUAUAUCGAAAGAUAUAGCUAUUCUAGUUUCUAUUUCAAUCCAUUCCGAUUUUGAUUCUAGCCACCAAUCAAACACAUGCCCUUAUAGCAAUAAGUUGACAAGAAAGAAGCCUCAGUUGCAUAAUUUGAAAGUUAUAAGCAUCAGAGACACUGCACAACAAGAUCGGAUGACCCCUAGAUAUAGCUUGACUCCAUAUCAGUCUACAAAACCAUACCAUGUGAUCCUUGCCCCCUUGAAGUUGGCUCAGCAUCGCCAAAUUCAACAAUUAAAAGGCCAAGCAUAAAUUAGGAACUGACAUUCACUUUAAAGGUGAAUAAUUCCAACACAAACUCAUUUUCAGAAUUUUAGUUAUCAGAAAUUGAGAGAGAAAAUUGAAGAUAUGAGCUACAGCAGCAAGGAGAUCACCACAGCAAUAGGAAAUCAUCCAUUGGCUUGAUCGACAUCUUCACCAUGCAACAUGGCCAAAGCAAGAUAGUGUCAUGUUCUUCAAUCAUCCUGCUUUAAGCCUUUAAAUUCAAAGGGCUCCACAAGAACUUUCAAGUUAUCUAUAGCAGGCAUCAUUAAGGUAAAGAUUUCUAGCAGUCAAUAGCCAGCCACAUACUUGCUCCACACCCAAGAAUAAUUUAGUAAUAAGUAACGAGCGAACAAUUCCAAAUGCUUAGAGGUCAAUGCUUUUUAACACUGCAUUACCACAAAAAGAAUAUAUAAAAUAAAAUAAAACAGAACAGAACAAAGCGCAUGUGAUGUUAAUUAUAUAGGUAAUUAUUUGACUGACAACACAUAGGGGGGAGAAUCAAGCACCGAAGAAGCUAUCAUAUACUUUUGCAGUUGGCUACCCAGCUAAACAAGAUUGCUUUAUAACUAAACUGGGAUAAUACAAGCAUGUCUUACAUAAAAAAAAAGAAGAAGAAAAGAAAAGCGUAUGUUUUAAGCCAACAUAUGUAAGCAAUAAAUUUGACCCCUUGUUUCUUACUCACUGAUAGAAAUUCUUGUCUAGGACAACUAGAAUAAGAAAUAUUUGCUGACAAAAUUAUAGAGAAGGCCUACAAAAUUAAAGAUGCAGUCUUGGUCAAUAUUGCACAUAACUUCUCGCCCUUUGGCUCCAGAAUGUAGCACGCCAAUUUCUGAUACAUGUCAUCUAUCAUUUUGCAGCAAAGGCAAGGCAGACAUGUAAUACAAAAUGAUUUUUUUGGAACAAUAAGGCACCCAAUGUUGUCCACAAUAACAGCAUUACAGACUCUCCACAUACAACAUUGCCCUACUUUCAAUACCUGAACGCGUGAAAUUAACGCAAUCCUAUUACUGACAGCAUCUACAGUAUAUACAAAUUAUAUUACUGUAUUUUGACCUUCACCGGAAUUCCAGAGCAACCCAUAGGGUCAAAAAAUUUAGUACAUCAUGACAAAAUAUCCAAGAACUAUCAUCCUCAUGAUGUAGUUAACUAUAUACAGACUGUUCAGAUCCAGAUUGACCACUCAAACAGCAUAGAGCCUUACGACCUGAUCUACAUUGGCACGGCAAACAGGGCAUCCCCAAUUCUUCGCUUUGAUCUCCUUCAAGCAAGGCAUACAUCCAACCAUGUGACCACAUGGAAUGCAAGCCCCCUCCACUGGGGCAUCCAAACAGAUGACACAAAACCCAGAAGUAUUGCGACUGCCUUCUUCAACUUCAUCGUUCCCAGGUUUGGAAAAUCCUGGAGUACCAGCAGUAUCUUCUUUCACUUCAGUAGUCACAGGUUUUGUCUCUACAGCUGGCAUGCUUAUAUCAACAGGACUGGAAUCUAUCGAUGGAUAGUGAAUUGGUCCAUCAUAAAAUGUCUCAUCGGCAACUGGUGGAGCAGAAGGAACCAAAACUGUGGGAUGUGCCUCCCAAGAUGGAACAAUGAAUGCUGUAUCAGAUUGACUCAUAGUAGGCUGUGAUGCCCUAUUAUUUGGCCCAACUUCAGGAGCAGCACAUCCAUGGCAUCCACUGGGAUUUGACUCAUUCAGACAUGCUUGGGCAUUUAAUUUUGAUGGUGGAGCAACAUCUGGUGGCCGCCAUCCAUUGUUGGUAGAAUGACCAGACGAGCAGCCCCAGCCGCUGGUGUUGCUGGUGUGGGUGACUGGUUGGACAUCAGGCACUCCCUCUGCUAUAGCUGACUGAAUGGAGGCGUUAAUGGCCAUGGCUAUUUCCAUGUCUUCCUGGUUGGAUGUAUGUGUGCCUGUUGAUGUUGCUGAUGCAUAUGAGUUGAUUUGUGAUGGGGGAGGCAUGGGUCCACCUGCUGGUGUUUCCGGAAUGUUAUUAAUCACCUGCAAGAGGGAGAAAUUUUGCUGAACACCAAACAAAGUUGUGGAUAGCAAUGCUAGUAAAAGAUAACAGAAUAAGAAUAAACCUCUUUAAGACCUCAUCACGGAAGCAAUAGUUCAGCACUAAGUAAAGAAGCUUCUAAAACAACCAUUACCAACCCGAUUUACACCAUAUUUUCUGGAUCUAAGAAUGAAAUUCCAAGAUUAAAUUCUUUGUCCCCAUUUGUUCUCUCCAUUCUUGCAAGAUUAAUUGGAAAAAAGUUCCUUGGAUGAUGGAUUUACACUAUAUGCCAAAAUUUAACUAGAGAUACAGCAUACAGUAAUAUUAAUUCUUGGUUUCUACAUGAAUAAUCUCCUGAAAUUCCUUUGAGAUUCUUACCCUAACAUUCACUUGCAUGCUCUGCAGUACGCAAUCAUGAAAUGUACUCAUUAAUUACCUGGGGAAUUCCUCGGCAUGCAUUAUAGAACCACCAUAGUUGUUGCUUGUCACCUUCAUUUGCCGAUAAAAACUUGUACUUUAUUCCUGUCAAGAUACAGCAAAUUAAGGUUGAGCACCAACUUUAGAAAUGAAAGGUCGCCAUCUCUGACCCCUUUUGAUGCCUAGGCAUCCAGGCAAGUGCCUGGAGUUAAAAAAUCAUUAAAAAAAUAAAAGUAAUACCACAGCCCUGUAUAAUCAAAUUAUCUCAAUGUAACUGGGUCAUAUAAAACACAUGAAAAAAACUUUCAUAUUCAUAAAUGAUAGGUUGUUUACUACUUAAGCUAUUCAUAAUAUGAUCUAGCAUGGAUUGAUAUCUUUGAGAACAUGUUACAAACACCCAAAUAGCUAACAAAGGACGGAUUGAUGGAGGGCUGCCAUGGGAUGUAUAAGAAACGCCAAAUAUAGAUGACCAUGAUCUAGAAAAGUAGCUUUUAAAGUACUAGUAUAUACACACCAAGGCUUAUUAAAAAUAACUCAACUAAUUAGAUAACAAUUAAAAUUUAUAUUAUAUAUGAUGAAGGAUAGCCGGAAUAAACAGUGAUUAGUAUUAUGUCAUAAAUAAGUACCCCUUGUAAAGAAACAGCCUGUAGGCGGUGAAGUGCCUGUCUAGAAUGCCAACCCAGGCACCCAGACUGCCACCUCACCUAGCAGUCUAGAAAGCACCAGGCAUCUAGGCAAUGGGGUUGCCCAAGUGACCAGGCUGCGGCGUAUGACAACCUUGGUACAACAUUAAGGAAAUUUUGAGGAAAAAAAAAACAAGCUUUAAUGCAAAAACAUACUUGUGGCGUUGUCAAUAAUAACCACAGCUGGAUCUGGCUGGUUGAACUUUGGUUCCUCGAUAUAAGCUUUCCAAAGUGAAAUAAUAAUGCGGGGCUUUGCAACCUGUUUGUCAAUAAAAACUAUUUAGCAAAUUAAACAUUGAAAAUUUAAGUCACUGCAUAUUCUGUCCUAGAUGUAGAAAAAAAUAUAGCAUGAACAAACAAAAGAAAAUAGUCACUUGUGGAAAAGGAGCUGCACAUGUUGAACCCAUGCAAAGAAAACUACAAGUCAAAAUUUUUGGGAGCUAUAAUUGGACCGGUAAAAAGCAAAAUUGAGUCAUAUAUCAAUUUAUGAACAGUUGUUCUGGGGGCAUCCACUCAGUCUGUUCCUAGUCACCCUAUGUCAGCAUCUUGUCAUGAUUGAACCACAAACGGUGAGUAAUACUAAAGAAUUACACAUUUUGUUGGGAAAAAAAAUGCAGAGUAACCCACAAGCAUACUGAGAGACCACUGUAGAAAAGGUUUUGAGAAAAUCUUGAACUCAGACAAUUAGCCAACGCUAAUCAACCAAAGAUGAUAGGGCCAAUCUCGUUAUACAUAUUUUAGUCAGCAAUCAGCAUACAAACAACACUUAAGAUUUGGAAAGACAAUUUUGUUACAUAGUUAGUGCUCAGACACUCUGCCUUAUGGCAUAGUUAGUGCUUAGACAUUCUGACUUAUGGCAGCCCUGUUCUCCAACAGAUUGCAAAGCAGUGGCAAAUAAUAUACACUAUGUAUUGCUUUAAAGGAAAAGCUAAUAUUAGCACCAUCUGAUGGCCUAUUUUCAAGAUUCCUUCUGGGAAUACCUAAAGCUUUACCUGAUGAUAGUAAGUAGAAUGAACUCUUAAUUCUCUUCUGUCAUUUUCUACAACCCUCAGUAGCUGUGGUCUUUUGUCUAAGGUUCUGCACGUGCUUCGAAAUCUCCCUGGUACCUUGUUAUUGCAGUUGCUCCCUAGGCGCUUUCUUACUCGAACUCUUUUUGGGAGCCCUGCUUCUCUCCGGUCCCGCAGCUGAAUUCGCUCCUGCACAUGCACCAAAUUUAGGUAACUAAGCUACAAUAGGUGAAAGAGUGUCAAUUUAGGUCCCAAACUGUCAGAAAAUUGGCUGCUAGUGGUGCCAUAAAGUUCAAAAAGAGGGAACUAGCUAGUGAAUAUUUGGUGAUAAGCCCCAAACAACAUGAGAACAUGGAGAUCCAAACCCAUGGUUUCCUCAAAUAUUCUUUCUUCCCAGAUGCAUAAAAAUCAACAGACUGCCUCACAUAGUUAAGCAGACUUAAAUAUCAUGAAUCUAAAUUUUAUGCUGACAGUAAUAAUGAUGGCUAAAGCAAAAUCUUCUUGCAUUGCAUAAACGCUGAGAGGAACUGUUGCUUGCAGACUGAUAAAGACGAAUAUAUCAGAGGAACGCCUUCCAUUACAAAGUUGAAAAUUUUCAUUUUGGCCACACACUGGAUGACAAAUGAAGGUCUCAAGAUGCAUUUGCAUGCCAAUCAGCAGUUGUAUUUCAAGCCCCAUUCAGCAAAUAUUUUUAAGUACAUCAUCAGUAGAAGCCUUUUCCUUUGUUAAAGUAAAAUCUCGGAAAAUAGGGCAAGUGGUUGACGCCGAAGAAAAGCUUACCCAAGCUUGCAUGCCCAAACAGACACUCUUGGGCUUGCCAUCCUCUAAAAGAGACCAUUCGGCUUAUAUGAGGACAUGUAGUUAAGCAAUUCAUUGAAGACUGAUGCACUGGUUAAACCACCACAAAGGCAUAGUAUGUUUAAAAUAAAGGUGCAAAACAGACAUAUUUAAAGAAGAGAAAUUGAUUAUUAUGCAUGCAAUCAUCUUAGUAUUUCUGCAGCUUGCAUCAAUGAAAAUUCUCAUUAAUACUUGAUGUUAUUGCGACUUCAGAAAUGGUGCUGACUACUCAAAAGAGAUUCUUCUGCAACAUCAAGGGAUACUGCCAUUGACAAUAAUGCAAAGUAUAUUGCCCACCUAGCUCACAUUACAGGUGAUUAUCUAAAACACAUGGCAACUGAUUUGAUUGGCCAUUCGAAAAGUAGGAAAAUUUUCAAGACAUAAUUACUCAGCUAAUUAAGAUUAGUCUGGUAGAUAAUUCAAAAGCUAAAUCACCAUGCCAACCCCAACCCUGCAGGCAUGCGCCAAACACACACACACACAACAAAAAAAGAAAAAAAAAAGAACUUUAGGAAGUGCUCAAUAGACCACACACCGACAGAAAUCCACAUUGAACAGAGACAUGAUGCAUUGGAAGUUGAAAAGGCCUAACCAUUGUAUGGGAACUUCUAGCAUGCCUGUCUGAAGCAGGCUAACAAACAACUCCAACCAUGAUGAUGGAGCUACAGCAGCAUGGCAAUAUAAAAAUAAAUCUCUUUCCCUUCUAUUUAAAUGGAAAAUGCAUUUUUUGGCUGGAAUCUCCUCUGCAGCAGGACUCUAGAUUUGUCGCUGAACAUUUUUUGGUUGAGAGAGCAUGCUCAUGCCUUUAUUAGAUUCCUAAUGCCAUGAGAAGAGAAAGGAAAAGGAGAGAGGGAAAAACCUUCAUAAUUUAAAGACCUGAUACUUCCAUUCCUGUAAAACAAAACAUUGGAACCCUAGUGCUUCUCUUGGUUUGAAACAAAGUGGGGCCCUCAUGUCUACAAGAUCAGAGCAAUAGUCCUUUGACUCGUUUCUUACUGUUUUAUAUCAUAGCCAUGCCUGUUAAUGCCCUUCAUGUGCAUCGCAGGGAGCACUAGUAAAUAAUGUAAAGCGAAAAAAGGGGAGAAGCAACCUGGUUCGCAAGACCUUCAUAGCAGCAUGCUGAAAUGCCUAUUGAAAACUUAAUCAGGAAAGAUAUUUAUCUAGUUUAUUAUCCAGGCUCCUAUUAUUUUCAGUCUUGAUAUAUGACAAGCUUCUGCCAAUGGGACCUAUAAAUAGAAUCCUAAAACUUUGGAUAUAUUUUUAUUUGUAGGUUUGAAAUGCUUGCAUCUGCAAAGGUUAAUUUACCUGUAAGGGUAAAUUUGAUGUACGUGAAGCAUAUGUUGAUCUCUGCUUCCAGAUUCAGUAUAGAAGAUCGGCGUUUAAUUAAGCAAAAAAAUAGAAUGGCAACCCAGUUACCUUCAAGAUGUUGAUAUUAAGAACAAAGCGAAUAUUCAAAUGAAAUUCCAACAAUGGGAUCUCCAUAAGAGAUGCGUUUGCACCUUUCCUUUGUCAGCAAAUCCAACAAACUAUUUGCAUUUCAAGCACACUGCAGAAACUUUUCCCCUAUUCAAGAGGCAAUAUCCUAGAUCUCCUUCUGCACUGCAAUUCCUAUCCACAUUUUCAUUUCCUCAUAAUGUUUGAUUCCCCUUCACCCAUUAGUCUGCACCAUGUAAUUAAGUAGCCUUAUGACAUCCUUCCACAUAGAAUAUCCAGCUUAUAGCAAACUUGAUUGUGCUUUCAUAUUCCUGUAUCAGAUUCCGCAUUCCUUUCUAAUCCUUUUUCAUUUUAACAUCACACGGACUCUCUCCCUCUCUCUCUCUCUCUCUCACACACACACACACAACUCCAAUGUUUCGACAAUUCCAAGUUGUCAGAUAAAGUCCUAAGUACUGAUUAACAUGGUCAUCUUAAUUAUUGACCAGGAACAAAUGACAUCUUGAAUAAUACUUCAGUAAGUCAUCAUGACCAACUUUCAGCUUCUAUGAUAUGAUGAUUAAAUGAUUUGAAAAAUACUCAAAAAAGGAGAUGGAACAAGAUGAUGUUUUCCUACCCUUGAAGACACAAAGCAAGAAGCAUAAGCAGAGGAUCCAUACCUACGCUUCAUAUAAAAAUUUGUGUUAAGAAGGCAGCAUAACUUAGAGACUUUGCACACUCCAAAUGUGCAAACCACCUAAAGCAAUUUAAUGAUAGAAUUUUCUGCAUCAUCUAAAUUUUGAGACUAAUUUUGCACAAACACCAAGGAAACCAAAAGAAUGAUCACUUCUUCUCUAACAAAGAUUAUCCUAUACUGCUUUUCUUUUGCAAAUAUACUUGUUAGUUGUAAUU
This 48098-nucleotide long non-coding RNA is filed under the name Elaeis guineensis (African oil palm). Its description in RNAcentral is "long non-coding RNA (EGUI_LNC040791)". Lineage: Eukaryota; Viridiplantae; Streptophyta; Magnoliopsida; Arecales; Arecaceae. The record is from RNAcentral.